UAUUGCUGAGGUCAAUAUAUGUGAGGAAUGGAAGAGCUGAGAAGUUGAGCUCACCAAGCUGGCCCCUGAUGCCAGCAUCCGGCAGGGAGAUGUCGGUAACUACCCUGGGCAUGCGGCUGCCAUGGCGAACAGCUGUGCACACAAUGCCCGUCCAGUUGCAGGGGGUGGUGUUUUCCUGCCAAGAGCUCAUCUGCACCGGUGGGCUCGCAAGUGUAGCUUUCCAGUGGAGGAGGGCCAUGCGUUGAGACCUCAGUGAGAUCCCUCCAUGCCACACCGCAUGUGCUUCUUCCACGAGAAAUAGGCAGGGCAUGAGCAGUAGGCAGAGGUACAACACAGGUUGCAUUUUGCUGCCUAGUGUUUGCAUCUGGAAUUCGGGAAUGUGUUUUCUUGGGGAAGUGAUUCAGGACACACUCUGUUGAUGGGUAUUUAACCAGUGUGUCGUCCAUGGUCAUGAGGUCUUCAGUCAACUCGCAACAGCUGAGUGGGAGCUUCUUUUUUCUUGGAAAGGAAUUGAGUGGAUGACUCUUUUUCGGUGUCUGCCACCAUCUCUUCGUCGUUGCUGCUGGGCGGCCUGUUAUUUUGAAGGCAUGGAUAGGAAGGGUACCGACAGCGGACGCGUACAUACUGAUCAUAUAUUUACCAAAUUUCCUCCGUCUACAACUUAUGCACCGAAUGGACUUGCGAUUCAGUUAACAUCGUGGCAGAGAUUUUAUUUGAUGUUAUAUUGUGUGAUUAGUUUGAUAGUAUUUCUUGUUUAUUUGAUCAUGUAACUUGUAACUGCUUCAGUUAUGUGUCUUGAGCUAUUCUCUAAAAUGUUUUGCUUUUUGCUUCUCAGCUUGGGGUAUAGAAAAAAAGAUUUAGCCCAAGUGGUGGCACAACACAACGGUUAACCGUGGGAGAAUUCCGUGCUGGGAUUACAUAUAUAGAAAUAAAGAAGUCUUUUUGGAAGUCACGUGUCUUAGCAAAAAGAGGUAGUGGCUGUAACCUGUGGAAUUCAAGGCCUGUACAAUAAAGCAGCAUCAUGACCACACUGACUGAAGAAAAGUUCAAAGCUCGGUGGGUUUAUUCGGUAAAAUUCCACUACUAGUGCUUUCUGUAAAUGUUGGUUGCCGUGUAAGAUCCAACACACCAGGUAUGCCCCCCUUUGUAAUUCACUUUGGUAGCUCAUAGUAGUGAUGUGCGUAGAUAUGUACAGUAACACAUAGCAGAAACAGCAGUGAGCACAGUAAGUUUGAGCUGGACUCAAAAUUAUUGGUACUAGCUAAGUGCCUCAUGCCUCGUUGCUAGGAACAAAUAUUACGGUUGCACAUCCUGUUCUUGGCAGAUCCACGGUUGCACUAGCCGAGUUGAAUUUUGAGGUGAAUUGCCAUCUACUUUUAUGAUACUAAAAAAGAUUAUGGCAUGAAGAAAUAAGAAGGUUUUAUCUUUGUUGCAUGCUAGCCUCCCCAACCAAUACAUAAACUAAUUGAUAAAAUGUGGGAUAUAUCGAAUUCUAAAAGUAAAAUAUUGGUUACCUUCUGAUUCUUGUGGAAAAUUCUUUACGUGCAGAAAUAUAUAGAGCCACCGGUGGACGCGCCAGCCAGGCAGAAAAUUCUGAGUGACCAUAUCUUGCAGGUGGUCGAAAGUAGUCAUGGAGACUGACCAACUCCAAUGGACUUUGGGCUUUGCGGCCGCUCUGGUGGAGCAAGAAGAACGAGAACUCAUGAUACCUUCUGUUGUGGUGUCCUCGAGGUCAACAGUAACGCCACCCCUGCUCGCCGUCACCGCCGCGUGCGAGUCCAGAUCUGUGCUUCCCUGCCGGUGGCAAUUGGGAGAAGAAUCUGCACAACCUACAAUUUCCCCUAUCAUCUUAUAAAUACAUGGGAGGAGGGCAAAACAGCGACAUGUCCCCUGAGAAUUGUGCCGGUAACAGGGCGAUGCGUGGAGUUCUAGCACGAGAAACAAGGGCAGGCAAUCCAUUGUAACAACUCUGGCAUAUGUGUUAUUUGCGAGGGUAACAACUCUGGCAUUCUUGUUUCAACGCUGGACGCAAAGGAUAUAUUUCGUUAUUUGCGAGUGUUACGACGUCAAUCGCCUGCGGGCAUGUCCAGCGGCCCAGCCCAUUGAGCGGAAGUAUUCCCAGUGGUUUUCAGAAGCUUUGAGAUAUUUUUCUUCUUCUUUGUGUUCUUUACCCGAUCUUUAACCGGAUUUCUAUUUCUCCUUUUUUUUUUCUACUUUGGUUUCUUUUUAUUCUUAGUUUUCUUUUCUUCCCAUUUACUUUUCCUAUUGAGGUGACACGUUUACUAGUUUUCUGUUUUCCUUCCAGUUUUUUUACCUUUUCUAUUUAUGUUUCUUUUUUAUUUUCUUCUCUUUUAUGUUUUCAUAAUUACAAAAAUUUCAAUAAAAAUGUUCAAAAUUUUGAAAAUAUUUCACAUUUUAAGAAAAGUUAAAGUCUUUAAGAAAAAGUUCAAGUUUUUAAAACUAUUUUUUGUUUUAUAAAAAUAUCGGAAUCUUGAAAAAAGUAACCAUUUCAAGAAAUUUUCAGAAAAAGAUAACAGCUUUCAGAAAUUGUUCGAGAUGUCGAAAAUUGUUAGCAGUUUUUGAAAAAAAAUCGCUGUAUAACAUAAAAUAAUUACUGUGUGAUUAAAAAUUUGUUGACCAUUUAUUAAAAAAGGUUAAUUGUACACAAAUAAAAUGUUGAUCAUAUAUUAAAUAAUUCUACAGUGUGUAUUUUGUAAAAUUGUUCACCAUAUGUUAGGAAACGUUCAUUUCAUAUAAAUAAAAUGUUCAUCAUAUUACUAAUUAAUUUUUCGUGUGUAUUUUUCAAAUGUAAUUUUAAAAUUGUUCAGGUUUUCAAAACUUGCUUAGAAUUUCGAAUUUUAAUUUGCAUUGUUUUUGUUCAGGAUUUCAUAAAAUGUUCAUUAACAUUAACAUUUGUUCAUGUUUCAAAAAAAUCACUCUUUAAAAUAUAAUUAUAAGAAGUCUCAUUAAAAAAAUAGAAUUUGGAGUUCGCAACUAUUAAAAAAAAGUUCUUUCGGACAAAACAGAACCCACCACGCUAUCUCGUUUUAAAAAAAUGCUGAAGCGUGAAAUCAGUAAUUGAGGAGUACUCGUUUCAAAGAUCACUUCUAUCUCCCCAGGUUACGACAAGUGGCGUGAUGCAUGUGUGCUACUUGUCGCAACCUGGGAUUUCCCCCUUUUUUUCAUAGACCCAUUUAUUCAAAAUGAUUUAUCACUUAAACCGUGCGUCCAAAUCUCGAACCAUUGUCACCUUUGGAUUCCUCGCGUCGAAAUCUACAACUUCCGCUGAUUGAUGCCACGGAUGGAGAAAACUGUUGAUUUUUGCUGGCUUUCUGCUGAUUUUUGAUAGAUUAAGCAUUUAUUUUAGGGACAGGAAGGUAAUUUGGAGGACGGAGGCGGGCAGGGCCAUAAAGAUCAGCUCCCGCACGCCACCUGUUCGAUGAAAUGCCCACAACGCGGCCACAACGAUGUCUUCUCUGGUCCAUGCUGCCAUCCAUCGAUGUUGACAAGUCACCAUCUAAAAGGUUGUCCGAGAAGCAUAGCUGAAUCCUGAAUCUAGCUGACGUGCUUUCAUACACCUUCGGGAUUUCUUCUUUAUAAUAUGUCACUUCUGUGAAGUUUCAGAAUUCCUUUGCAGGUAAAUGUUAUUUUGUUAUUUGCUUAGGUUACUUGUUGUAGAAACUGCUGGAUUUGGAAGGCUAGCAAGUUCUUAACAUGGACAUGGUAGAAGUGAAAUGCUAUUUGUUGCACAGUGCUUUUGGCCUUGGUUAAAUGAAGCGGAUUAUCCUGUAGCAUUUAAUCAUUCUUGCUUUUUACAUUGUGCUUUUUACAGUGCUUUUGGCAUUGUCUAAUUGACAGCCGGCUGAAAACCAAUUCGGCUUCAGGCUGAUUUUAGACCACCCACAAAUUGACAAGUUUGCCAUGUCCAUUGUAUGUUCCUGUCCAUCUUUCGCCGCUGUUUCUGUCCCACCUAGCAGGAGGCAAACCUGGAGAAAAAUCAUGGAUUGACAUGUGGAGAAUCCUACCAAACAUUGCAUUCACUCCCAGUACUUCUCCUGUGAAACAGCUCCCUCUCCUAAUUCUCAACAUCUACACGGAACAUGCACAGGAAAUCUGAACUUUGCAAGAACAAAAAAUCAGAUUAUGACUAGUAAGGAUCAUGGGAUUAUAGGAUCAACAUAGACAGGAAAGCAUGGAAAACCUUCUAAGGUGUUAGAUUGAAUCUAUUUCAGUUCCCCCUUACAUACUAGAGGAAACAUAAAGGGGAACUCUGAAAAUCUGCUUAGAUGUUACACUGAAGCUAGUAGUACAAAAUAUACAUGCAGAAAAUUCAGAAACUUCAAACAAAAAAAUUCAAAAAGAAGAACAGGAUUUACAACAGAUACCCUUUACGAUGCUUGUGAACUGACAAAAAACUUCACACAAAAAAGUUACUCACAAAACCUUCAUAGAAACCUUAGGGUUUAGAACUUUCAGUAAGUUUGGGUAUCAUCUUAGGGUUGGUUAGAGUUGAUAAUCUAGAAAACUAAAAGCAGUGAACUGAUUGCUAUGAUUCAUCAGUUUAUCUUCCAUAUAGUUGGACUAAAAAAGCAGUGAACUGUAUGCGAAUAGGCGAAAGCGUCUUACCCAUCGUGGGGGCGCUGUUGCGUGUUAUAUAGGCCAGGGGCGCACCUCCCUGGAUAGCGCAUACAGCAGUUUAGAUUAUAAUCUUGAGAAGAAAGAAAGAGGUAGAGAUAAGGACUCUAGUUAAGAUAAACCUCCUUCCUAACUACCUAACACAUAUGCGCAAGUAAUGCAAUCCUCCUGCCACGCUACAACUUGUGUUUAACACCCUCCCUUAAUCACAACUUCAUCAAGUUGAGAUUAUGCUUGAAGUCUUCAAAGCUUCGUGUGGGAAGAGGCUUUGUGAAUCCAUCUGCUAUCUGGUCCUUGGAAUGCACAAAACGUAUGUCAAGUUUCUUCUGAGCCACUCGUUCUCUGACAAAGUGAAAAUCUAUUUCAAUGUGUUUAGUUCUGGCAUGAAAAACUGGGUUGGCAGAUAGGUAUGUGGCACCCAGAUUAUCACACCAUAAACAUGGAACUUGAGUACUUUUUACACCAAGUUCCUUCAGAAGUGAUUGCAUCCAUAUGAUCUCAGCUGUUGCAUUUGCCAAUGCUUUAUAUUCUGCCUCAGUACUGGAUCGAGAAACAGUUGCCUGCUUUCUUGCACUCCAUGAAAUUAAAUUGGGACCAAAAAAUACUGCAAAGCCACCAGUGGACCGCCUGUCAUCCAGGCAGCCUGCCCAGUCAGAAUCUGAGAAAGCACUCAAAAGUGUAGAUGAUGACUUACUGAAAUUCAAACCAAUAUUGAGAGUAUUCUUGACAGAUCGAACUAUACGCUUUGCAGCAGUCCAGUGAACUGUGGUGGGUGCAUGAAGAAACUGACAGACCUUAUUAACAACAAAAUAGAUAUCAGGCCGUGUAAGUGUCAAAUAUUGAAGCGCACCUACCAGACUCCUGUAUCUUGUGCUGUCAUCUUGACCCAAAAGCUGCCCUUCUGUAAGGGAUAAUUUUUCUAUGCUUGAUAGUGGAGUCGGUGAGGGUUUACACCCUUGCAAACCAGCCUUUUUUUACCAGAUCUGUUGCAUACUUUUCCUGAGAGAGGUGAAGACCAUUAUCAUGUUUCUUCACUUCUAUCCCUAGGAAAUAAUGUAAGUCUCCAAGGUCCUUGAGAGCAAAUUCUGCACUUAGAUCCUUCAAUAAGCCUGUGAUAGCCUCAUCAGAUGAACUUGUGACAAUAAUACCAUCAACAUAGAUGAGAACAAAUAUAUGAGUGUUGCAUUUGUUGUAAAUGAACAAAGAGGUAUCCGACUUUGAAGGUAUGAAACCAAGUGCUUGCAUUUUGUGACUCAACCGUGAGUACCAUGCUCGAGGAGCCAGCUUCAAUCCAUAUAAGGCUUUGUCAAGUUUACAUACAUGAGAAGGUGCAUUCUUGUUUUCAAACCCAGGAGGUUGUUUCAUGUACACUUACUCUUCCAGAACACCAUGCAAAAACGCGUUCUGAACGUCUAGUUGUCUAAGGCUCCAUCCCCUAGAAACAGCAAUGGAUAACACAAGACGGAUAGUGGCAGCUUUUACAACUGGAGUAAACGUAUACUCAUAGUCUAUGCCAUAUCGUUGUUUAAAACCUUUUGCUACAAGUCUUGCUUUGUAACGAUCAAUAGUGCCAUCAUAUUUUCUCUUAAUCCUAAAAACCCACUUGCAGUCAAUAAGGUUUUUACCUUGCCGUGGAGGAACCAAGUGCCAUGUGUUGUUCCUCUUUAAGGCCAUGUACUCUUCUUUCAUUGCUUGUUUCCAAUUUUCAUCACCAAGAGCUUCCUCAAGUGAAUACGGUUCACCGUUCACCUGUAGAGCAGAUCAUGCCAAAUUUUGUCAUGCGUUUGUAAUUUACUGGAUGUAUUACCCCCUGUUGGAGACGAGUACGUCGUGACGUGGUUGGCUCCAGCGCAGAAGAUCCCGUGGGUGUUGCAGAUGCUGAUCCCGAAGUGGAUUCGGUGGGAUCCACCGCAGCCGCACCAGAAACAGAGGCCGGAUCUUCUGUGCGUGGAGGCGAGGCAGCGUCAGGGGGCGAAGACACACGCGCCACAGAAGAUCCGGCCAGACAGGGUUCGUCCCGCAGCAAUGAUGACGCUGGUCCCCCGCGUGCGCCAGGUGUGGGGCCCGUUGGGCCCGAGCCAGUUGGCCGACGCAGAUCCCGCCGCUUGUAGCAGACAGGCUGAGCCGGAAAACGACCGCUCGUGGGCCCUGGCGAGUGCGGGCCGGCGCCUCCAACCGCUGGCUGCCGUGCGGCGCAGGCGGGGCCGCCUACUGGUGCGCGGUCGGGCGCAGGGGGAGAAGCGGAGGGCUCGGGCACGGAAUCUGAGGGAGAUCCGCCUGACCGAGCUGCGGGCGGCGAUCCCGGAGCGGAUCCCGCUGGCAGGUCUACCACGCCUGCAGGCCCCAAUCCCGAGGGAGAUUUGCUCCCCAAGUCCUGGCACAUGAAAUAUGGCCCUGUUGGGCGAUUUUCUUCAUUAUUUUCGACUCCGUUUUCUUCAGCGUAGCUUCCUGUAUCACACAACUCAUGCAACGUGGUGAGAGGGUUAGUCACAGUAGUGUCAUCAGAAUUAGACUCCCCAUUAGCAAAGCCGGUUAGAUUUGGAGGCAAAAGAAGAAUUUCUUUCCGAAGUAAAGCGCCGGCAUUUGGGUGUAAAUCAGCGAAGGGAAACUUGGUUUCAUCGAAUACAACAUCAUGGGAUAUGUAAACUCGACUAGUAGAGACAUCUAGACAUUUUACCCCCUUGUGUUGAGAGCUAUAUUCGAGAAAAACACACUGUUUUGAGUGAAACAUGAGCUUGCGAGAAUUGUAGGGUCGAAGAUUAGGCCAAUAGGCACACCCAAAAACACGAAGUGAUGUGUAGUCGAGUUUGACAUGAAGAAGUCGCUCGUGGGUGUGUCAUUGUUGAUAACUCGACAAGGAAGCAUGUUGAUAAUGUGAACGGCCGUGAGAAAAGCUUCGUCCCAAAAUUUAAGGGGCAUAGAAGCGCCGGCAAGAAGAGCUAGACCAACCUCAACUAUGUGCCUAUGUUUGCGUUCGUCCGAUCCGUUUUGUUGGUGAGCGUGAGGGCAUGACACAUGAUGAGAUAUGCCGAGGGUUUGAAAGAAGGAGUUGAGCUUCUCAUACUCCCCCCCUAGUCGGAUUGGACAACAAUAAUUUUGCUGUCAAACUUGCGUUCUACAAGUGCUUGAAAAUUUUUGAACACUUGAAAAACAUCGGAUCUUUUCUUGAGAAGGUAAAUCCAAGAAAAUUUGCUAUAGUCAUCAAUAAAGCUAACAUAGUAUGUGUGUCGACCAACCGAGGUGGGAGCAGGACCCCAAACAUCAGAGAAUAUCAAUUGCAACGGUUGAGUGGAAACACUAGUAGAUAUAGGGUAAGGUAAUUGAUGACAUUUUGCUCGUUGGCAAGAAUCACAAAUAGUUUCAAUAUUGUGCUCACCAACAAACGUGAGCUUAUUUUUUCUAAGCAAACGUUCAACCAAAGAAAAAGAUGCAUGUCCUAAACGAUCAUGCCAUCGUGUGGACGAAAGCUUGAUAGCACCACAAGCUUGUUUAUUUGAUCUUCUAAACUCUGGAAUCAACGGGUAAAGCCCUCGAACACAUCUACCUCGAUAGAGAACUUUCCUCGUGGCCUGAUCCUUGAUCAAAAAGAAGAAAGGAUGGAAUUCAAUGAAUACAUGAUUAUCAAUGGUAAUGCGAUGAACGGAGAGAAGAUUUUUGUUGGCACUAGGAACAUGCAAAAAAUUUCUAAGAUGAAUCUUGGGAGAAGGGGUAUGUAUAACCGAAUGACCUAUGUGACUUAUCCUCAUACCUGCACCACUUGCCGUGUGAAUUUGGUCUUUGCCAUGAUAUUUCUCACGAAGAGUCACCUUCUCAAGUUCUCCCAUGAGGUGGUUGGUAGCACCACUGUCAAUAUACCAAUUAGUAUCAACACCAUAUGACCCAUCAGCGGCGGCAGCUACCUUGUCAUCUUCAUCAGAGGAGGCAUCGUUUUCAUCGAAACGAUACCAGCAGUCCUUGGCCGUGUGGCCCAGCUUGCCGCAAAUCUGGCAACGUACGACAUCAGGACGUGAUCUGCCCGAGCCGCCACCACUGCCACCCCCGCCGCGAUGGCCCCUGUUGUUGACGAAGUUGGGAUGUCCGCCGCGAGAGGAGUUGCUGGAGCUGCCACCACCUUGCUUGCCCUUGUAUCGGGGAGGACCGCGAGAGCGCGAGGAGUACCCGCCGCGCUCGCGAGUGGCGGCGUUGGCCGAAGACUUGAAGCCACCGCCGGUGUUGUGAAACUGUGCCACACGCUGAUACGGGGCUAACCCGGUGUAGGCCGAUCUUUCACGUUUGGAGUGGGAUCCCUCGAAGAACACGAUGGACGCGGGGAAGAACGGAGAGAAAACACAAGGGGAAACACUCAAGAACUAGUCUAAUCACACAUCCACUAGACAAUCAAACACACAAGAUCCACAAGGUACAUGAACAACAAAGGGAAAGAUACAACGUAAGGUUGAUCUCCAAGAGGAGGUCUUGAUGAUAUCCUAGAUGGAUCUUCCCACAAGGGGGUCUUGAUGAUAUCCCGCAGGAUCUUCUCACAUGGAGGUCUUGAACUCCAUGGGAGUGGUAGUCUCUCUCUCUCAAGAGUAGAGGUAGGAGAAAAGCUCACCUAAGAAUGAGCUAUCAUAAUUGCUAACCUUAAAAAGGAGGUGGAGGUGGUCUAUUUAUAGUCUAAGCCACGAAGGGGUAAGUGGAAGAGGGAUACAAGGCCAAAGGCCCGCGGCUGCGCACACAGGCAUCGGACGUCCAGAAGACUUCGGACUUCCGUAAAUUCUUCUCUGUCGCCGUAGCACCGGUCGUCCGAUCGGUGUCGGUGGUCCGUGCGCUGGGACUUGUCGGACGUCCGGCGUUCGUCGGUCGUCCGGCCGCUGUAGCUUUCGUUGACAGGUCUCUUGGGCUGGCUGGAGCUCCAGGUGUCGGACGUCCGGUGUAGUCCGGUCGUCCGGGCGCUGUAGGUGUGUCGGACGUCCGGUGGCUUCCGGUCGUCCGGUCGCUGUAGACUCCGCAGCUCCUUCUUCUUUUGUCUUCUCUUCCAUGCUUCCCUCGCGGAUGGUGUAGUUGUUCCUUGGCGCUUGCACUCCUCCUUGACAUCCGUGAAGCUCCGACAAUACCUAUGCAUGCACACGGGAGAAGUGUCAAGUAGUAUACCAUCCUCGAAGGGGUCAAGUGAGCACGUGUAAAGGAGAAGAUUCACCUUUGUGUAUGUGAAGUAGAGGUUGCACGUGUCACUUGCCAAACGGACUCUUGACAUGGUGAUGACCGUAGGAUGCUCCGCAUCACACGCUGAUCAAAGUUGCUCAGCAUGGAGUACAGCUCGUCGAUGGAGACCGGCGUGACACGGGCAUCGAGGGCGGAGACGAGAGGCUGGUAGUCCAUGUCCAGCCCAUGCAGCAGGUAGGAGAUGAGCUCAUCGUCCUGGAUGGGCUUGCCGGCCGCGGCGAGUUCAUCCGCAAGGCCACGCAUAUGAGCGUAGUAUGCAACAACUGAUUGGGUGCCCUUCCAUGCAUUGAUCAAGGCAGUGCGAAUAUUGUUUACACGGCUCAAAGAUUGAGAAGAAAACAUGCCUGCAAGCGCCACCCAGAGGGCGUGCACGAUGGUGACCGUGGUCACCGCGAUCAACACUUCCUUGGAGAGGUUGUUGAGGAGGUAGCCAAGCACUUGUUGAUCUUCCCUCACCCAGAUGGGAUGGAGAGGGUUGAGCGUCGACGACUCCUUGUCGUCCUUGUCCUUGGUGACGAGGAGGCGGGUGGGUUCCGGCAUUGUUCCGUCGACGUAGCCGAAGAGCCCAGCUCCCCUUAGCUGCGGCAUAACUUGAGUUCGCCACAGGACGUAGUUCGUCCGGGAGAGCUUCUCCGUGACCUGACCGAGAUUGCUUGGGGCGGCGCUGGAGGAAGACAUGGCUUGGGACUAUGGAGAAGCUAGGGUUUGGAAGAGGAGGCUCUGUAUACCAUGUGCGAAUAGGCGAAAGCGUCUUACCCAUCGUGGGGGCGCUGUUGCGUGUUAUAUAGGCCAGGGGCACACCUCCCUGGAUAGCGCAUACAGCAGUCUAGAUUACAAUCUUGAGAAGAAAGAAAGAGGUAGAGAUAAGGACUCUAGUUAAGAUAAACCUCCUUCCUAACUACCUAACACAUAUGCGCAAGUAAUGCAAUCCUCCUGCCACGCUACAACUUGUGUUUAACAAACUGCUCAAACAAAAUUUCACAGUACUUACCACCGAACUCAUUCAUGUACUGCAGACCAAAGGAAGAAACAAAAUAUUAGGAGUAAAAAUACCUACCAAGACUUUCUACAUAUCCUAUGAAAAAUCCCUCCCCUAUUAUUAGGGUGGACCUGUGUAGACCCCCUCAGCCCUCCGUAAUCGUUCGUAUGUGUAGAAACACCAAGGUAAUCUCUUAAUUAAUUAGAUAGGUAUUCCCCCUCCGUACCUAAAUAUAAGAUGUUUUUGUAGGCUAGUACAUGAGAACAUCUGAGAUGCUCGAACACAUUUUAUAUAGUGGUGACUAUGGGGCUGCCUAUUACCAAGUCACAUGAGAAAACCUUCUGCGUAAUCAUUUUCCACGAGGACCACUAGAUCUUCAUCCAAUGACCGGAAACAUAUCAUGUAUUAUUUAUCUUCUUCCUGCCCUCAUUCCUCCUCCACGCGCCGCCAACCGGCCUAGCCCCGUCGGCAUGCCUCUACACCCCUUGGCUGUCUCCCGUUGGUGGGCACUGUUGUGCGCCACCUCUAGAGAUAUAGACACGGCGAAGGGAAAUUUUGUUUCAUCGAAAACGACAUCCCUAGAGAUAUAGACAUGGCCGGUGGAGACAUAGGCAUUUUACACCUUUGUGUUGAGCACUAUAACCAAUGAACACGCAUUGUGUAGAACGGAACAUGAGUUUGUGAGGAUUAUAUGGACGAAGAUUGGGCCAGCAUGCACAUCCAAACACACGAAGAGACUUGUAGUCUGGUUGGUGUGAAGAAGUCUUUCAACCGGAGUUUCAUUGUUUAUAACACGGCUAGGAAGCAUAUUAAUAAUGUGAACGGCAGUGAGAAAAGCUUCGUCCCAAAAUUUGAGAGGCAUAGAAGCUCCUGCGAGGAGGGCAAGCCCAACUUCAACAAUGUGAAGGUGCUUCCGUUCGGCAGAGCCGUUUUGUUGGUGAGCGUGAGGGCAUGACACAUGGUGCGAGAUGCCAAGGGUUUGGAAGAACGAGUUUAACUUCUCUAUUACCCUCCCCAAUCGGAUUGGACAUCAAUAAUCUUGCAGUCAAACUUGCGUUCAACAAGAGCUUGAAAUUUUUGAAAAACUUGAAAAACAUCAGAUCUUUCUUUAAGAAGAUAAAUCCACGAGCAUUUACCGUAGUCAUCGAUGAAACUCACAUAGUAGGUGUGUCUACCAACAGAACUAGGGGCAGGACCCCAAACAUCAGAAAAGAUUAAUUACAAUGGUUUUGUGGAGACACUAGUGGAUAUAGGAUAAGGUAACUGAUGACUUUUAGCUCAUUGACAUGAAUCACAAAUUGUAUCAAGAUGAUGCUCACCAACAUACGGGAGCUUAUUUUUCCUAAGCAAUCUCUCAACUAAAGAAAAAGAAGCAUGUCCUAAUCGAUCAUGCCAUCGUGUUGAUGAAAGUUUGAAAACACCAUGGACUUCUUUAUUGAAUCUUCUACGCUCCGGAAUCAACGGGUAAAGCCCUCGAAGACAUCUACCUUGAUAGAGUUCUUCGUUGCCUGAUCCUUGAUAAAAAAGAAGUAAGGAUGAAAUUCGAGGAAGACAUGAUUACAAUGGCAAUUCUAUGAACAGAAAGAAGAUUCUUGUUGGCACUAGGGACAUGCAAAAUUUUCUUAAGAUAAAUUUUACGUCGCGGGGUACUAAAUAUUGAAUGACCAACGUGACGUAUCCUUAUACCUUCUCCACUUGUAGUGUGGAUCUAAUCGUUGCCGUGGUACUUUUCCUUCAUUGUGACCUUCUCAAGUUCACUGGUAAUAUGGUUGGUGGCGCCGCUGGCAACAUACCAAUUUGUAUCGACCCCAUAGGAGCCAUCAGCAGCUGCGGCGAUCUUGUCCUCAUCUUGGGAGUCAUCGUCGUCCUCCUCGUAACGGUACCAGCAGUCCUUGGCCGUGUGCCCGGGCUUGCCACAGAUCUGGCAACACGGGGUAUCUGGACGAGCCCGGCCAGAGUCACCACCACGACGCCCCCUGUUGCCAGAACACCCGCGCCACCACUGCUGUGCCUGCCUCCUCCUGUCCUCCCCUUGCCAUGGGAAGAACCACGCCGGCCAGAACUGCCGCCGCGGCCGCGGGAUGCAACGUUUGCAGAGGACUUGAAGCUGCCGCCGCCGCCAUGGAACUGCGCCAUGCAUUGGUCGAAGAUGCUGAGCAUGGCGAAGAGCUCGUCGAGGGAGGCUGGAGUGACGUCGAGGGCCAAGACCAGGGGCUGAUAGUCCUGAUCCAGCCCAUGAAGGAUGUAGGAGAUGAGUUCGUCAUCUUGGAUCAGCUUGCCGGCCGCAGCCAGCUCAUCAGCGAGGCCGUGCAUGGAGGCGAAGUAGGAGGCAACAGACUGGUUGCCCUUCUGCGCAUUGAUGAGGGAGGUGCGGAUGUUGUUGACGCGGCUCAGCGACUGCGACGAGUAUAUGCCCGCCAAGGUCGUCCAGAGUGUCUGUGCCGUGGUGACCGUGAUGAGCACCUCUUUGGAGAGGUUGGCCAACAGGUAGCCAAGAACCCGCUGGUCCUCUCGGAUCCAGAUGUGGUGGAGAGGGUUGGGCUCGAAGGUCUCCUUGCCGUCCUUGUCCAUGGCGGAGAGGAGCUUGGCCGGCUCCGGCGAGGUGCCGUCGACGUAGCCGAAGACACCGGCACCACGCAGCUGUGGCGUGAUCUGCGUGUGCCAUAGCACGUAGUUCGUGUGGGAGAGCUUCUCGGUGACCUCGCCAUUGAGACUAGGCUGGAAGGCGCCGGAGGAUGAAGACAUAGCUAGGCAUGGGUGGAAUCGUAGAGAGUCUAGAUGGGAAGUAGGAAGGCUCUGAUUAUCAUGUGCGUUAGGCGGAAACGUCUUACCCUAGCUCGGGCGACGUGCUACGUGUUAUAUAGCAGGGGCGCAAUAACCCUGAGGCGCAUACAUAAGUUGGUUGAGAAGAUAAGAGAGAAUUGGAGAUACAACUUGAUGAGGAAGAAAGGAGGAGAUAGACUUGGUUACAACAGAAUAGAUAUGCCGGCUAAACUACCUCCUGAACUAUCUCUAAAGAUCUCCUCUGUCACGUGUAUGCGUCAAAUAUGUUUAACAGAGACGAUGGAUGUUAUGGAUGUAAGUAGUGAAAUACAAGGAACUCUUGGUAGAAGCUACUAUGUCCCAGAUGACAUUGAUGAGGAGGAACUUAUUUGUAGUUGGCUAUUCAUAGAUGACUCAAACACCAGGUAUUAUCACCUUAAAGUUACUGAAUCAAAUAGUUUCCCUUACAAUGGUAACCAGCCAGGAACCACCCAUCAAUUUAAAUUCUGUAGUUGAAUUCAAUCCGGCAAACUCUCUGUUUUUAUCAGUUCUUAGGUCCAUGAUUUUACCUAAAACGUUUCUUUGGCACUUUGUCAUAAUCCCUGCACUAUUUAUUAAUGUACAUACAAGACAGUUCUUUGUUUGCUGCGCUCAUUUUGUAUGUUGAAAAAUGAAGAGCUCGAUGCUUUGGAAGCUGAUGGACUUCAAAUCAAAUUCAGUCCCAUCGUACCUCUAACCAAAUAAGGAAACAUAUCUUGAUUUUGAGCUUAAGUUACCUGCUGCACCAAGUUGUCAUGCGGCUAGCAGCCAUGGCAAAUUGGCAGCAGGUAGCUAGUAUGCCAAUUGCGAGACUGACUAGUUUCUGUGAUGUUGAUUAUGGUGUUGAUUUCAUGAGAAAGAAAUCAAUGGUUCAUGUCAUUUCCCAUGCAAUCACUGUGCGUGAAGUUGUAAAAGGGUUUCUUUAUCUCGUCACAUGAUCUAAAUGACAGGCUAGAUACCUGUGAUCAUUAUAUAUGGAAGUAUUUCCUAACCUAUAAAUUGUGUAUUUCAGGUUUAAUUUCAUGACAAGUACCUAUAUUGUUGGUGUGAACAAGUGAGCUUAUCCUAGCUUGAUAUUAUUAGCAAAAUCAACUCAUGGGAGGACAUGCAAACCACUUUAAUGCCAAACAUGUUCUAUAUGAUGGAUUUGACCCUGAGCUUUUGGAACAAUUACCGUUGUCUCGGUCCUAUCAUACCACAACACAUACUCUGCUUCAUUUCAGUUUCAGUGAACGUCUAUGCUUGUGUCUCAACCAGUAGACUAAUUUGUUGUGCUUGCUUUCCUCUGCUUGUGCAGGAGGAUGAACUAGGACUGCCUGCAGUGCCACACACGUCAAUUCGUAUCUGAAACUAACAAAAAAAAGCUAUGGUGUAGGUUUGAUCUUGAUGUAAAUGGUCGGUGCUUCGUUUGUGCAUGGGAAAAUUCGUUGUAUUUUUCCUCAUAUUUCACUGCCAGUCGUUGAGCAAUGGUAAAUGGAGCUGUUCUCUAUACGGUUGUACAUCUUGUUCUUAGUAUGUCUGUGAUUCAACUAGGUGAGUUGAAUUUUGAGGUGAAUCAUACCUAAUUUUCUAUUAAAAAGAUUAUGGGAUAUUUUCAUACCAGACUCUUCAUGUCUAUGAUUGCACUAGCUUAGUUCUCACUGUUGUCUGUCACCUGGGGCUUUUCAUAUCAUCUCAUCUCAUCCUUUCUUAAGUUUUUAUUAGGCAUGAAGAAGAAAGAAGGUUGUAUCUUUGUUCCAUGUCAAUCUCACCAACCAAUGCUUGAAAUUAAUUGUAGUAGUAAAUUAUUUGUUGUUCCAUCCUAAGGACAAGGACUCCAAGGAAAAGGAGUACAAUCCUCUGUAAGUCCUUUUACUUAGUACAGUGGUAAUUUUCCCUUUUUAUGCACCUAGAUCCAUAAGUUUACCUUCAUUUGUUUAUGCUUAUGCAUCAACCGAUCAAAACUUCAUAUUUAGUACAGUGGUAAUUUACCCUUUUUAUGCCCUACAACCCUCUCUAAGUUCUUUUACUUAGUACUGUGGUAAUUUUCCUUUUUGUAUGCACCUAGCUCUGCGUGCUAACAUUAUUUGUUCCUGUUUACGCAUCGCCCACUUGAUCAUUGUGAUCGUCCCUGCUUGGUCCAAGGUAUUUUAACCUGAUCAUUGUGACCGCCUGAUACCACGUUAGUUUUGGACUCCAAAUUCAUCUUCAGGUUCAUGGGAGCAGAAGUAGAUAAAAAGAGACAAAUAUUUUUACACCAUUCCAAGUACCCUUGCAGACAACAACCGAAAGAAAAUGACAAAUAUACACAUAGACAAAUUACAUUUUACAAGCAACCGGCAAAACAAAUUAUAUUUAUGCCUUGUUAGAAAUCAGGAACUAAACAAAUAGAGAAAUAUCAAGAACAUGGGCCACUAAUUUUUACGUGACAUCCCGAGGUAUAAACGCAUAGACACAUUACCCUUGCUGACAUUAAGUGACAAUGAAGUUGUAUUGGCAACAUGAACAACUCCAAGGAACCUCUCACAUCCUCUUCCUGAUUUGUCAACAAAUCGUAUGCAGAGAGCAAGUUGUUCUUUAUGAGAUGCAUCACUAGACUCAUCAGCUAGGAUUGCAUAGUGGUCAUCACCAAUAUCUUCAAUAAUUCUUUUAGUUGUUUGCGCCGCACAACAUUCAAUUAUUUGAUUUUGUAUCUUUGGACUAGUCAAGAUGCAAUUCCUAGGAGCAUUGUUCAAUACAUGUUUAUUAACUUCUUCGUCAUUUUCCGAAAGCCAUUUAAGAAGUUCAAGAAAGUUCCCCCUAUUGCUAGAUUCUUCACUCUCAUCAUGUCCACGAAAUGCCAAUCCUUGGUUCAAAAGAAACCUCAAGCAUCUAAGUGAAUAAGUCAGCCUAGCCUUGUACAUACGUAAAUCCUCUUUACACACCCUCACCAUAAUGUUAUCAAUUGAUGGUUGGGGUGCCACAAAUAAAUUGUACUUCUCUUGAGCUUUGUUGUGAAUGCUGUUAAUACCACCCACAUGUUUGUCUAAUGCAUCAGGCCUAUACCAAUUUUUCCAACCAUCUUUAACAAAGGCAUCACCCUUAGCCCCCCCCAUUCGAUUUGCCUUUGAACAAAUAACACACAAAGCAAAAUGUAGCCUCAUAUUUGACACUAUAUUCUAGCCAUUUAUAGUUCUCAAACCAAACAAAGUUGAAGUGUCGAUUUUUACCAUACAUUUUCUUGACUUCAAAGUUGUGUGCAUAUGGUUGGACUGCAUUCUUUGCAAUGUACCGUCUCCGAACUUCAUCUUGAUCAUCAACAUUGUACUCCGAAAUAGGAAUCCUUUCCCCUGGAUCAGGUGGAAGCCUUUGAAUAUUAUAUGACCUUGCAUGUGGAUGUUGGGGUGAUGGUUGCCGUGGUGCUUCAUCAUCAAUAUCAAUGUCAAUCUCUGCAUCGGAAUGGACUGGAGGUGGAUCAAUAUCAAUGUCAAUCUCUGCAUCGGAAUGGACAGGAGGUGGAUCAACAUCAAUGUCAAUCUUUGCAUCCAAAAGGACUGAAGGUGGACCAAUAUCAGGUUCCGGUUGCUCUUCGGCUGCAACCUUUCUUGAUUUUGCCUCAUAAUUCCGAAAAAAGACUUGAUGUCACCAUUCCUUUUCAUCUUCGGUUCUAUAUUUAGAACAUAAUGUCAGCAAGACAGUAAGACUAGAACAAAAAAUGGCACAUCCCUAGUCCUCUGGAGCUUUUUUUGUUCACAAAACAACAAUUACUAAGAAAACACACCCUACUGAUGUUCUGCACUUCUGCUAACAGCCUAACUAUAUUUUGUACAAAUUUAGAAACAACACUACAGAGGCAAAGCUGCAGUAUAACAAAUGGGAUCUAGCAUCUGGUCAAAAACACACCCACUAACCCACGACCGGGGUGGAGAGCACCGGAACGGGCAGGAACGGAUCACCGGAGGAGAACGGGCGUCGGCCAUCGGGAGAUGGGAUCAGAUCCUCCGGAUAACGGAGCGGCGACCGUCUGGUCCAGGUCGGCUCGACGCCGACGGCGCCUCGGCAGGGGAGGCGGGACGGGCGAUGGCCGCGACGGGAAGGAACUCUGUUCGCACACGAACACGUCAUCGUGUACCGUCGACACCGGGGGUGAUGCACCGCAGCUCACGUCGAAGAAGACCCGUCGGAAGCGCGGUACGCAAGACAAUCCGGCAGGCGCUUUUGUAGACCCGAAACCCCACACGCCCGGGAGGGACCCCGUCUGGGCGCGCGGCGGCUAUGGGCUGCCCUAGGUCGACCUGAUCGCCCCUAGGGCCUCGAGGUUCGCCGCCCUGCAAUGAAGAAGAACGAACGAAGAACGAGGAAGAAGAAGAACAAGGGAGAAGGAAAAGUAAAGGUAAAAGUGUAGAUAGAUUUGAUCGAUUGUGUGUUGUUGUUCAAUCGGCCGUCACCUCUUGUCUAUAUAAAAGGCGGGUGGACUUCCCGUACAAGAAAAGGACUUGCCUAGCCGUCCAAAUCAUCAAAACCUAAUAAAACACGGACUAUUCACGACCCCCGGCCCGGAUGUCCGGCUCAAGGCCCGGAUGAUCCGGCCUAGCCCAGUUUUUUGACAGCAGCUCACUGUUUUGGCUCUAGAAUCCUCAUACGACCACGGAUUUGGACGUUUUUUAUAUCCAAAUCAACCGUCUCGACGAGACGCACAACUUUCAUGUUGAACACUUUUUCAUCCGAGGCCAUCUUGAGGGUAUUUCGGGCCGUUUUCUAAAGUCUGCAGCAGAAAAACGUGUCCGGACAUCCGGACGAUUGCCCGGAUUGUUCGGCCUUUACCCGGAUUAUCCGGGAGUUGAUCCAGAUCAUCCGGCUUCAACUUUUAGCUUCUGUUGUUUUGGUCAAUUUUUCGGCCCUCGGCCGGAUGAUCUGGACCCUGGUCCGGAUGAUCCGGCCAUACAGUGCUGCAGCACACAGUUUUGGCUAUAACUUUUGCAUACGAACUCGGAUGAGGACGAUUCUUAUAUCAAAAUCGUCCGUUUCGAUGAGACGAAGAACUUUGCAGUUGUAACUUUUUCCAUCAAAGGCCAUUUUGGGGCGUAAUCAGCCGAAUACUGUUCUGAACACAAAAUCUCAAUACUUCGAAUACAACUUCGGCCUUAGAGAUGAGAUCGGAUGGCUAUGGCCCAAAAAUCAAAAUUUCUCCUUUUGAAGAUAUGGCUUUGAUCAUUUUUCCAUUUAAGACCUUUUUAAUUACGUUUUUGACCAUGCCAAAAUCUGGUGUCAACACAUGCCCCCAUGUUUUUCGGUAAACUUGUGUGCCGAAAAAUAACUUGCACGAAGUUUGUUCUAAGCACGAUGUCAACACUCCAUCGGCCGUUUUGUACGUGCUUUGGACGAUAAGUAUAUAUCGGCCAUUUAGAUUAGCAACAAAAAUGAAGCUAAUCGAACAUAUAAUGAUAUGGUAAUACCCUUUCAUGAUGUAAGAAAUUAUAUUGCAUCCAUGGGUCAAAAUAAGUCCACGGAGGGUAACCAGUCAUACCUGAGGAUGAAUUCCAUGGCAUAUGCAUUAAUGACAUAGUUGAAGAAUAUGAAUGUUGUUUGAACCGAAGAUUCUGAUGUGCAAACCCUCGACUUGGUUGUUCGAAGCUUGCACUCUUCUCUUUCUUCAUCUUUGUCGCACUUAUUGCAACGGAAUAUUACAUAUUAUUCUUGUUUUUAGUACUUCCUUUGGGAACCCAUGCCAUGUUCAUCUUUUCAAGUUCUUGUGCACUAAGCUUUUGUACUUUCUUCUUUUGCCAAUACGGUAAGCCGAGUGGGCACCCCGGCUGCGAUUUUCUUUGAAGUAAUGGCAAUUCUUGUUUUAUCUUGGGCACUCUCAACUUCCUCCCUUCAGAUUUGGCACUUGAUUGACUCUCAACAAUUGAUUGCUUCAUCUCAUUGCCUUUAGUAGCCAAUGUCAACAUUUUAGUUGGCUCUUUUUCUUUUGAGAUCAAAUCUGAAGUAGCACUCUUACGACCAUCUCUUUUAACGCGGUAAACUUGCUUGACCACCUUCUUUCUAUUCCUUGAGCACUGGACCGAUUCCUUAUGAUCGAAACGGUCUUUAGCAUGUGAUUGUUCAAAUGCUGAUCUUCUUGGAGCUGCAUAGUAUUGGUGAGAUGGUCUAGAAUAAGAUGGAGAAUGUGCCCUUGUAUCAUACCUGUCCCAUGAUGAAUAUGUAUCUAUAUGAGCAUAGGGAGGCAUCCACGGCAUUGGCAUUGGCGGCCCAAAAUAAGGAUAUGAAUAUGUUGCAUUAAAAUUCGCACUUUGCCAAUACCGAUCCUCAUAUUUGCGCCUUGGGGGUGAUCUUGGUUUCUUUCAUGAUUUGGCCGAUAAGUAUUUUUCUCUUCACUCUUCUUUUGAUAUUUAUCCAGUAGUUCAGGAAAGGUGAUUUUUGAUCUCUUAUACUUGCGCUUAUUUCGGCCUUUGUUUCCUUUGGUUGUGCUUGCACCAAUCAUUGAAUUUGCUUGUUGCCCCCCAGUCCUUGGCGUCUCCAUUUUAUCUUCGAUGGAAUUCUCGCCCUCAAAAUUAUGUUCAUUAUGCUCUUCAACAACUUUUUUACUUGAAAGCUUGACCCCAUCACCUGCAGUUUUUACCUCCUCUUUAAAUGGAUCGGCUUGAAGCAGCCGAUGCAAAAACUUUCUGCCAUCUAGACCAAUCGGAAUAGACUGGUCAUCUCUUGGUGUCUCAACAAAUUUCAACCGUCCUUUAUCAAUGGCCGAUUUAACUAUUUGACGAAACAUAUUGCAAUCCUCAAAAUUAUGUUUGAACGAAUGAUGCAACCUACAAUACAUUCGUCCUUGAAUUGAUGGCUUGACAUGGUGAUCAAGAAUUCUUAUGUAAUUAUUUUUCAGCAAAAAAUCAAAUAUUUGGUCACACAUGCUUGAAUUGAAGGUAAACUUCUUGCUUUCUAGCCGAUCUUGCUGUGUGAACGGCUUUGAAGAUAAGCAAACGAAUGGUUCAGAUUUGGAAUCUUCCCAUUCGGCUAUACAUUGUGUUUUCCACUCUAUCUCCGGUGUCUUUGGAUAAGAUAUUAUAUUAGCAUCGGAUUUCUCAAAAGAAAUUAACCUUGACUUUAAACUUCUGAUUCGAAAAUAUUUAGAACACACAUGUCUCAAUUGAGACAAAGUGCAAGCCAAGUAAGAAAUAAGCAAAGCUACCCAACUAGAUAUGAACUUUAGAUAAAGCAACGGGGAAAGCUUUGGCCACAACAAUAAGUCAUUAUCGGUCUUUAUAAAUGGUGCAAUGGGUUGACCGAUAUAGUCUAUAACAAUUUUGUUGCUAACAAGUAAAUUACCCUUCUUCAUUGGUCUUUCAAAAUUACUUAUGAGAAUUUUUCUUAUAGAAGCAUCGACAAUAAAGUUGCGACCAAAUCGGAAGAUAGGCAAGUCACUUGCUAGACAUACCUCUUCAAUUACGUUGGGAGAGCAUGAUGGUUGUAUCACUUGAAUAAUACUUUGUUCCAUUUUUGAAUGACUCUCCAAUGCCUUGGCAUUCUUUUUUUCUUUGAUAGAUUCGGUACACAUACUAUUUGAUUCGGCUUUUUUAAUAACCGAAUUAACUUUGUUAUCCGAAUCACCACUCUUUCUUUCUUUGAUUCGCAAGGUUGCUUGUUCUUGUCUAAAUUCAGCAAACAUUGCAGCUAGUCUAUCUUUAAGCUUUUUUCGACCAAUUUCAGCCCAAUCUUCAUCGGAUUGCCCCCCAAUACUUUGAGACGCUUUCGGCAAUGGUGUGUUGCCGAAAUUUUGUAAUUGUGCAGGGGCAACAUGAUAUGCUACAUUACUAGGUAAAGACACAUGCGCUCUGGUAGAAUUCUCACUUAUUCGGCCAUGAGCAUGAAGGUGCGGAGCCGAAUCACGAAUAUCUACAAUUGCGUAUGGUGCCGAAAAAUUCAUAGCAUGAGGUGUAGCAUAUGAUGUUUGAGGGUAAUUGGCCGAAUAACUAGUAGUAGCAUGACCAAUUCCCCUAUCCACCGGCACGUUUGGAUUAACAUACUGCAAGUUAUUUGCCGAUGAAUAAAAAGUUGAAACACUUUGUUGCAUACUAUUGGAAGUUCCUACAUGGGGUGUAUCAACAUGAUUAACCGAACUCAUCAUGUUGUUCAUCGGCAUAUAGAUUUGUGGGGUUGCCGAUGCAUGGGAGUUCGGAUACAUAUGUUGCAUGUUGCUAAAAUUAUAUGAAGUUGAAGCAUGAAGAUUAUUCUGAAUCGGCUGUUGCACAUAAUUAGAUGCAUGAUUGAUAAAACUAGGGCUAGCCGAUACAAUAUGCUCAUUAGACGAUCUAGCAACAACAUAUGCAUUAUUUGCAUCUACAUAAGUGAAUUGGGUAUUCAUGUUACCUUUGUAGAUUGCAAACCCUAGAUGACGAUCUCUUCGUAGCAAGAACGGGCCGGAGACCGUUCAAAGCUUCGUCCCCAGCGGAGUCGCCAAAAAGUGUGUUCGCACACGAACACGUCACCGUGUACCGUCGACACCGGGGGUGAUGCACCGCAGCUCACGUCGAAGGAGACCCGCCGGAAGCGCGGUACGCAAGACAAUCCGGCGGGCGCUUUUGUAGACCCGAAACCCCACACGCCCGGGAGGGACCCCGUCUGGGCGCGCGGCGGCUAUGGGCUGCCCUAGGUCGACCUGAUCGCCCCUAGGGCCUCGAGGUUCGCCGCCCUGCAAUGAAGAAGAACGAACGAAGAACGAGGAAGAAGAAGAACAAGGGAGAAGGAAAAGUAAAGGUAAAAGUGUAGAUAGAUUUGAUCGAUUGUGUGUUGUUGUUCAAUCGGCCGUCACCUCUUGUCUAUAUAAAAGGUGGGUGGACUUCCCGUACAAGAAAAGGACUUGCCUAGCCGUCCAAAUCAUCAAAACCUAAUAAAACACGGACUAUUCACGACCCCCGGCCCGGAUGUCCGGCUCAAGGCCCGGAUGAUCCGGCCUAGCCCAGUUUUUUGACAGCAGCUCACUGUUUUGGCUCUAGAAUCCUCAUACGACCACGGAUUUGGACGUUUUUUAUAUCCAAAUCAACCGUCUCGACGAUACACACAACUUUCAUGUUGAACACUUUUUCAUCCGAGGCCAUCUUGAGGGUGUUUCGGGCCGUUUUCUAAAGUCUGCAGCAGAAAAACGUGUCCGGACAUCCGGACGAUUGCCCGGAUUGUUCGGCCUUUACCCGGAUCAUCCGGGAGUUGAUCCAGAUCAUCCGGCUUCAACUUUUAGCUUCUAUUGUUUUGGUCAAUUUUUCGGCCCUCGGCCGGAUGAUCUGGACCCCGGUCCGGAUGAUCCAGCCAUACAGUGCUGCAGCGCACAGUUUUGGCUAUAACUUUUGCAUACGAACUCGGAUGAGGACGAUUCUUAUAUCAAAAUCGUCCGUUUCGACGAGACGAAGAACUUUGCAGUUGUAACUUUUUCCAUCAAAGGCCAUCUUGGGGGCGUGAUCAGCCAAAUACUGUUCUGAACACAAAAUCUCAAUACUUCGAAUACAACUUAGGCCUUAGAGAUGAGAUCGGAUGGCUAUGGCCCAAAUAUCAAAAUUUCUCCUUUUGACGAUAUGGCUUUGAUCAUUUUUCCAUUUAAGACCUUUUUAAUUACGUUUUUGACCAUGCCAAAAUCUGGUGUCAACAAACUCCAGGUCUCCAGGGGCGGCCUCCAAGCGCGAGAGCCGAGCGGCGGCGGCCGAGCGCGAGCGGGAAGCGGCGGCGGCCGAGCGCGAGUGUGGAGCGGCGGGGUGGAGCGCGAGCAGGGAGCGGCGGCGGCUGAGCGCGAUGCGGCUCUGCCUCUCGUCUCGCUCGCUCACAGUGGAGCCCGAGAGGAUGAGGUGGGCCUGGGCAGUGGGCUCAAUAGUCAAAGAAUUAGUCAAUGAUGGUGUGAUUUAUAUGUAUAUAAAAAAAAUCUCAGAAUUUCUGGGUGUGCCACGGCACACCCGCUGGUUCUGCCAAUGGUUGGAGGAAACGGGUGGGAGAAGAAUCAGUGAACACUUAGGAUAUUUGCGCUGCGUAAAACUUUGUAGUUUUUCUGCUUUGUUCUCCUCUUUAUCUAAACAUAAUCGUAAAAAAGUGGGUUUUUUAGUGCUGGGCCCAGCAAAAGAGAAAUCGCCGUAUACUAGGCCCUCCAACUUCUUAAGAGGUUUACCUAAAAUUUUCGCGCUCAACUAACUAACUAACAGAAAGAUACUAAUCUUGCGCCAUGCCAAGCUUCAUGGACGUGCCAUCCCACGUUCCUUGACCAUGCCUCAGUUCUAAGCUGCUAUGGCCGUAACAGCAUGCAGCUACUGAUCCAGCCAUGUCGUGAACAGGCUCACGCUGCAUGGAUUGGUCAUUAUUUUUGCUAGAAAUAAAACCUACGACAUGACAUGAUAGGAUUACAGACUUCAACAUAUAUAGUUGGCAUAUGAAUGACUCGAGGCAAAACCAAAACCUAAAGCGGCCUCCGCUACAAUAGACACUGGCUUCUCACUAGAACUCGGAUCAUAUAUCAGCACGCAUUCAUUACUUGCCAUAAUGCAAGUGCGCUGAAAGGCACGGGAUAUGGAUUAGAAGAGGGUCGCUGGAUGAGUGUGUGGUAUGCCUCCCGCAUGGUUGGCCUUGCUUGUGGAGAAGAUUCCAAGCAAGAGAAGGCCAGCUUGAUGAGCAGAGCUAAGCUAUUCUCUUCCAUUGUUGUUGGUGUUGUCGGCCGUUGGUCCAGAAUAUCAUUCACCAAUAUAGUUUGUUCCUCGCUUGGUAAACUACCGUCCAAUAGAUCCAUUGGAUGCUUCCCCAUGACUAGCUCCAACACAACCACGCCAAAGCUAUAGACGUCACAUUUCUCUGUCACAACAGAUGUGUAUAAUAGCUCUGCACCAAAUCAAAACAUUAGAAUUAGGAACAAAUGGAUCGAGGCGAAUGCUUCUGGUGUGAUAAGAAAGGUUUACUAGCACAUACCAGGAGCUAUGUAGCCAUACGUUCCUGCUAGUGCACUCCAGUUUGAUGAAUCAGGCCUAAGAACCCUUGCCGUGCCGAAAUCCGAGACAAAAGCCUUGAAGGUUGUAUCAAGUAAGAUGUUGUUGCUCGUGAUAUCUCGAUGGAUUAUAGGCGGACUGCAUUCGUGGUGCAAAUAAGAUAUUGCUUGAGCUACAUCAGUUGCAAGAGCAAUUCCCUUCUUCCAAUCUAAUUCCUUUGCUAGCUCUUGAUUUUCCAAUGUCAUGUGGAGGCUGCCCUGCUGAAUGUAGUCGUAGACAAGAAAUUUAUAUGUUGGAUGGGAGCAGAAUCCAUACAUUUUGACAAUGCUUCGUUGUCUGAUUUGUGAUAAGAUUUCCAUUUCACUGCAAAAUCUUCUUUCGUCAUCCAACUCCUCUUCGGUCUGAUGAAGCUUCUUCACAGCAACUAGCUGCCCGUCUUGAAGUUGUGCCUUGUAGACUUUGCCAUACCCUCCUCUUCCAAUGAUGUACUUAUCAUUGAAGUCUUCCGUUGCCCUUACAAUAUCGUCAAAUGCCAAUCUUCCAUCAAAAUUCCAAACCGAGAAUAGGUCCCUUGCUUGAGCAGUAAUACUUUCUUGUGGUUUUCUCUUCUUAUGAGUAAGUAUUAUUAUGACAGCAGCCGCAACAACAGUUCCAAAACCAAGCACAAGAAUAAGUGGCAAAAACAAACCAAGUAUCUUCCCUUUUUGGUGAGCAGCUACUGCGGUUGAAUUACAAGGUGGCAGGCCAGAGAUGUUACCACACAGACCUUUAUUGGAAAGAAAGCAACUUGCUGAAGCAUUUUGGAGUAGGCGUGUUGUUGGGACCGGUCCUUCCAAGUCGUUGUAGGAUACAUCGAGUGUUGAAAGGCUCACCAUGCUUGCAAAGGAGGAUGGAAUACUGCCACUGAACUGAUUAUGUGAUAAAUUCAGAAAUUCUAGCAUUUGCAACUUUCCAAGUUGCUGCGGCAACACACCACCGAGGCUAUUGUUGCUCACAUCUAACAUGAUCUGCAAGCCUGCUAAGUUUCCAAUGGCACCGGGCAAACUUCCACUGAAGUUGUUGUUGUUGAUCUUCAAGGAUAGCAGUUUUGUGCACGCCCCUAGUUCCUCAGGUAUCAAUCCACUCAGUCUGUUCCCAGAUAUAUCAAGGUAUGCAAGAUUGCGUAGCUUUUUUAUGUGUGUAGGUAUGGAUCCAGAUAAUUGGUUUGAUGACAAGUUCAGGCUAGAUAGGUUUGCUAAAGUGCAGAUUUCUGGUGAAAUCUCACCACUCAGAUGAUUAGAAUCGAGUGUUAGUUCUUCUAGGUUGGACAAUUUAGAAAGGAUUGGAGGUAUGGAACCUGUGAUCUUAUUUUGUGCUAGAUUUAGUACCGUUAGCUGGGUACAUGCACCUAGAUUUGGUGAGAUCUGCCCAGACAGUCUAUUCGAUGCUAACCGCAUCUGUACAAGUUGUGGAUAGACACCAAAAUGCUGAGACAGAUCUCCUGUUAGUUGGUUCGACUCAAGGCGAAGUCGAACCAAACUCGUACAUGUCUUUAAACUGCUUGGAAUAAAUCCAUUGAACAUAUUAGAAAAGACACGGAGAUAUUGAAGUUUGCCACCUGAACAUAUAUUUGUGGGUAAAGGUCCUGAAAGUGAGUUGCUAGACAACGAAAGUUCAACAAGGCUGAUGAGAUUUCCAAAUUCUUUAGGAAGAGAACCUGAUAAUUUGUUAUCAAAGAUACGUAUUCCUUGGAUGCUUUGCAAGUUCCCAAAAGUUUUUGGUAUUGAUCCUGAAAUUUGGUUCUGAGACAAGUCUAAAUAUUCGAGGUUCAUCAGAUUGCCAAUUUCCUGGGGGAUGGACCCGCUUAUCUGAUUUGUAGAGAUGGUAAGUUGUACUAGCUUGGUUUUAUUUCCUAAGGUGCCAGGAAUAGAGCCAUAUAUUUGGUUGUUAUCCAAUUCUAAAUUUUGGAGAUUCAGCAAGUAGCCCAAUUCUAAAGGUAUUGGGCCUGUGAUUUGAUUUUCAUAGAGAACAAGUACAUUGAGCAUAGUGAGGUUCCCUAGUUCUGGGGGUACUGAACCUGUUAUUUGAUUUGUGUAGAGAGCAAGUUCGUUUAGCAUAGCAAGGUUGCCUAGCUCUGGGGGUAUUGGACCUGUGAUUUGAUUUUCAAAGAUAAAAAGUCGGUUCAUUUUAGUGAGAUUGGUUAUGGAGAUCGGAAUUGAACCUGAAAAAUCAUUUGAACUAAGAUCAAAACUUUGCAGAUGGACUAGCAUGCCUAGCUCUUGGGGUAUAGGCCCUGAAAGUUGAUUACCAAACAGGUUCAAAAUAUUCAAUUGGGUAAGAUUUCCAAAGAAUUUUGGUAUUGUGCCUCUUAAGGUGUUGUUGCUUAGCUGUAGAAGUUCUAGGUUAACAAGCCUUCCAAUCUCCUCAGGAAUAGGACCUGAUAGCAUGUUUUGGUGGAUGACAAGAUCGGUUAAUAUUGUUAGGUUACCCAGAGACACGGGGAUAUGUCCUGUGAAUUUGUUAAAUGAGAGGCUAAGCACCUUGAGACUUUGCAGGCUACCAAUCUCAUAAGGAAUUUUCCCUGUGAGCUGGUUGUAGGUAAGGUCAAGUCCUGAAAGUGCUGACGGGGAACUGAUACUAGUGGGUAGUUCACCCUGGAGACUGUUGUUAUGGAGAUCAAUAUGUGUGAGGAAUGGAAGAGCCGAGAAGUUGAGCUCACCAAGCUGGGCACGGAUGCCAGCAUCUGGCAGGGAGAUGUUGGUCACCACCCAGGGCAUGCGGUGUCCAUGGUGAACAGCCGUGCACAUGAUGCCCGUCCAGUUGCAGGGGCUGGUGUUUUCCUUCCAAGAGCUCAUCUGCAGCGGUGGACUUGGAAUUGUAGCUUUCCAGUGGAGGAGGGCCAUGUGUUGAGACCUCAAUGAGAUCCCACCAUGGCGCGCCGCCUGUGCUUCUUGCAAGAGAAGAAGGCACAACACCUGCAGCAGGCACAUGUAGAACAAGGUUUCCAUUUUAAUGCCUAGUAUUUGCAAGUUGUGUUGGCUGGUGGUGGGAUUCACUAUACACUGCAACUCUACUGAUAUUUAAAUAGUGUUAUGAGGUCCUCAGUGAACUCACACCAGUUCCCUGGAUGACUAUUCCAAGGUCUUGUUCGGACGCUAUCACAUUCCUUUGGCAGCUGCUGCAGGGCUGCCUGUUUUGCAUCUUCAGUGUCGCCAUCUCUGCCUCUAUUUUCUUUCCUCAUUCUCGGGGGAAAAUGAGACAUGAAUUAUUCCUAGAAAGCAUUACCCACAGCAUAGGCCUACUCAUAUCUUUUCCAAUUCUCCUAUGUAAAAAACUCGCGCGCUGAAUGGACUUGAGUUAACAUUGCGGUAGAAUUUUUAUUUGAUAGUAUCUCCUGUGAUUUGUUUGAUAGUUUUUCUUUGGUAACUGCUUCAAUUAUGAAGAAAUUUAAGCAGCUUGUGUAAAGCAGUUUCUAAAAUGUUUCCCUUUGUGCUGUUCCCCUGGUACAUAGAACAAGAGAUUUAGCUCAAGGACUCGUGACUGGUUGCGCAACAAAACAAUUAUUUGUGGGGAAAUUCCAUGCUGCAAUUUUGUCGAUGUUAAAAUUAAAAGUUUCUCUACUGAAUUUUGUUUAAUACAAAUCCUGGACCCCAAGUCUUGUUUGAAGUCAUGUGUCUGAGGGAAAUGGAGGUAGUGACUGUAACCUGUGGAAUUUCAAGGUCUGUACAACCAUGCAGCAUCUUCACCACACAAGCUGAUGCAAAAAUCUAAGCUCAAGUGGGUUACUAGUGUUUUCUGUACGUCUGCCAGCCCAUAUACGUGUUGAUUGCAACGACAAAUUAGAACAGAAUAUUUGGCUCGAGGACUCGUGACUGGUGGCGCAAGGCAACGACAAAUUACGUGCUGGAAAUCAUUUCACAGGCGGUGGUGAAAACAAAAGGUUUUAGUGUUGAAUUGUGGUGGAUACAAAUCCUGGGCCCCAAGUCUUGUUGAAUAUUCUGUGUCCAAGGGAAUAUGAGGCGGUAGCUGCAAUUUGUGUUGAAUUCAAAGCCGGUACAACUGAGCAGGAUCAUGACCACACAAGCUGAAGAGAAAAAUCCAAGCUCUAGUGGGUUACUGUCCCGCGUGCGUGUUGAUUGCCGACAUGCCAGUAUUCCCAGGUGUGCCCUUUGUAAUUUCCCAGUAAUCAAAAGUGUGCAAAUUAUUACUGUUUUUGUGAGGAGUUUGGUAGGUCAUAGCAGUGCAUAGGGAAGUACAAUACAACAUAGCAGGAAAGGCACUAUUGUCUAUACUGUUCACAUUUUUUAUUUUGGAACGAUGGCGAGUGAUAAAAUGACCUGUUCAAUUUAGAGGAGUGUCGGUAUCUACUUUUUCUGAAAGAGGGAUUCCUGUCGGCUGUACCUGGGGCUUUUCAUACUGUAUCAUCUCAUCCCGUCCUCACUAACCAAUGCUUGAAACUCUUAUGAGUACAACAUUUGUUGUUCCAUGUGAAUCUCUUAUGAGUAUAUACACAUAUGGAACAUUUGCCUGUUGACCAAACUUCUUGUGUAACACUCGAUGGUUGUUCAGAGUAUUAUGUCAAGCUACAGGGAGAGAUCAAGCGUUGUAUUCCCAAGCAUUGCAAUCGUAUCUACACAGUGCUUUGCCACCGUCACCAUCUCCUGGCUGGGUUGAGACGAGAGAUGCCUCACUCUGCUUCUGCACAUACAUCUGUAUGUCUACUAAACAAAAUCUUAUGCAUCAGCAGGCCACAAGAGCAAUCAUGGCAUAUGCAUAUGCUUUCAGUAUUUCCCUGUUUAUUUGAUCACGUAAUUUGUAAAUGCUAUUGUUUCCCUUUUCGCUUUUCAUAUAACAAAAUGUCUUAAGCUAUGUUCAGUUAUGUACAUAGAACAAAAUAUUUAGCUCAAGGACUCACGACUGGUGACGACAAAUUGUGUUGAAAUUUCACCAUUGGUGGUGGCAAAUAAAGGUUUUAAUGUUGAAUUGUGGUUAACAAAAUCCUUGACCCCAAGUCCUGUGUCCGAGGGAAUAUGAGGCAGUACAACCGAGCAGCAUCUUCACCACACAAGCUGAAGAAAGAAAAAAUCUAAGCUCAUGUGUCCGGGGUGACGCGGUUGCGAGAGGGGAGAGGGAUGACUAUUCUUCAGUGUCGCCAUCUCUCUCUACUGGAAGUUCCAAGCUCUUGUUUGGACGCUAGCACAUCCCUUUGGCAGCUGUUGCUGGGCUGCCUGUUUUCCUUCUUAAGUGUCGCCAUCGCUUCCUUUAUUUUCUUUUCUCAUCCAUGCAGAAAAAUGACACAAGAUCUUUCCAGAUUCUCCUCUGUCUUCAGUGCCGCAGCCUCGCUUUCUCCUAAUGUGCAGAGUGGGCUUGAGUUAACACUUGCAGUGGAGUUUUUAUUUGAGGGUAUCUCCUGUGAUUGGUUCGAUGGUAUUUCCUUGUUUAUAUUUGAUCAUGUAACCUGUUACUGCUUCAGUUAUGGCAAUUCCGUAAAUAAAUUGGAGCAGUUUGUCUUGAGCUAUCCUCUAAAUGUUUCCCUUUUCAGUAUGUAGAACAAAAUAUUUAGCUCAAGGACUCGUGGCUGGUGGCACAGCGUAAGGACAAAUUGUGGUUAAUGCAAAUGCUGGACCUCAAGUCUUGUUGGAAGUCAUUUGUCCGAGGAAAACGAUGAAAUGGCACUGUACAACCAUACAAGUCUUGUUGGAAGUCAUGUGGAAUUCAAAGCUUGUACAGCAAGCAGUAUCUUCACCACACAAAACUGAAGCAAAAAUCCAAGCUCAACUUGGUCGACGCCUGCCGGCCCACGUACGUUGUCGAUUGCUUGUAGCAUCUAACACGGCGAUAUUCCCAGGCAUGCCCCUUCAUAAUUUAUGAGUAAUCAAAUGAGUGCAAAUUAAAUCCACUUGUCGACCUCUGAUAUUCCGUCGAAAAUCUGAGAAGGCACUGAGCAAGGUAGAAGAAGACUUGUUUUGGAAUAAUGGUGAGUGAUAAUGGGAGCUGCUCGCCAUACGGUAGUUAGUUGUACAUCCUCACUAGCUGAGUUGAAUUAUGAUGGACUUUCGAGGUUGAAUUGGUAUCCGCUCUCUUAUGAGUACUAGUUGAAUGCCCGUACGUUGUUACGGGAUUAGAUAACAAUAUCGCUCUAGUCCUAUUGUUUUGUUUCAUUUUUCCUCCUCUAUUGGUUUUAUUUUUUUCUUGACACGCAUCUUAUUUCUCAUAUACCCCACUAAUAAUAAGACAAAGUUAUUCUUCCUUGUCUUUUUUAUCUAAGUGCAUACUUAGCUUGUUUAUUUACAAACAUAGAUUGAAGCUUCCUACCAUGCAUUAAACUAAUUUCUCUUUCCUUCAAAUUUUGAAAACUCGUUCACAAACUCCGAUGUCUUUUUCCAUCCACAGCAAUCACCAUGUUUGUUUCUCCGCACCCACAGAAAAAAAACUAAGAUAGUACGUUAUCACGUGAUUUUUUUAAUCUAGAUAGGUGUUCUGAGGGUUAACUCAAGAAUUUAACCAUGUGGUCACCUGGAUCGCCGCUACAUGUUGUCGUCAUCGCCUUCGGCAGCAUGCCCUCUAAGGUAAUGACUAAUGAAUGGCGUUGCUUUGAGACCAAAAAUAUCCCAAGAGACGAUAGCUAGCACAUCACACUAAUUAAUUGAACUGGCACCUGCACAAUAUGACACUAUUGAGAUAAAACUCGUGCUAUAAUCACAAGAAAAACACGUGCAACAGAAGAAUAAUCACACGAGAAACACGUGCUACAGAAGAAAUAGAGCAUUAAAAGGUGCACCUCGUGAUUACGUGAAACUGGAACACCAACCAGAUGAAGGUCCAACCUUUUUCUCUGUAUUAUGAGCAUUUAAAGGUUCAUCUCUUGAUUACGUAGCCGUAUUCCUUGUACUUCGCCUGAUUAUGUGGUCGUAUUCCUUGUACAUCACUUGAUGAUGUGGUUAUAUUCCUUGUACAUCGCCUGAUUGGUCUCCAGUGCUGGCGGGCUGCCAAAGAGAUCGGGUGUAUGUGAAGGAAAAUAUGCGUGACUGUAUACCUUACCUCUUGCCGAAUGUUUUUUGUUUGUAGCAAUUGAUGGUCUCCUUUGCGCAGCCGGACAACUAAUCCUCCAACUGGUCUACUAACAAUUCAGACUAACACGAUUAGGAUAGAUUCACGGUCAGGGUGGAUAACCACAUAGUUUUGUACUGUACACUACCAAAGUAUUUAUCCAUGUACAUAAUCAACUCAAUUGAACCAACGACCAAAGAUUGAAGAUAUGACCCCCGGGACGAACAGAUGUUGUUCCAAACAAACCAAGCAGCACAUGGUUUUCCUAGCGAUUUUCUCGGUGCAGGAUCUCUCGAGGGGGGAGAAAAUGAGGUCGAACCAUCACGACAUUCGAUUCUGCUUUAAUAGUAGAGAUGUACAUGGUUGUCUUAUGUUGGAAGUUGUUCUCUGAACUCUCAACUUGUUAGAAAUGGUUUCUGAACUCUGAACUCAGAGCUGGUAUAAAUCCACUUCUCUUAUCUCCUUCUCUAUUAGAAAGGGAUAAAGGGAGCUGUUCUCUGAACUUCGACAAUUGUUCAGAUUGGUAUGUUUGCUGCUAAAUUUCCUGAAGAGAGAAGUUGGCAGGCACCUAACCUAGCUGACAUUACGUUUUGAAAGUACGUUUUGCCUUAAGAUAUUCUCUGCAGUAUCAAUGUUCCCCUUUUCGCUUUUCAGAUGCUACAUAGUAGUAGUACAAAAUAUCAUUGUGUGAAAAAUUCCGUGCUGGAAAUUCUGUCGAUGGCAAGGAUAAAAGGUUUCUGUGCAGAAUUUUGGUUGGCGCAAAUCCAGGACCGCAAGUCUUGUUGGAAGUCGUGCGUUUGGCUGCAUCGUGCAGAAUUCAAGGCCUGCAGAAGCAAGCAGCAGCAUCUUGGCCACACAAUCUGAAGAAAUGUUUCAGGGCACCGGCUGUGGUAGAAAUAAAGGUUUCAUUGUUGAACUCUGUUUAAUACAAAUCCUGGACCAUAAGUCUUGUUGGAAGUCGUCUGGCCAUGCUGCAACUUCUGGACUCAAAGCCUAUGCAGCCAAGCAACAUCUUGACCACACAAACUGAAGAAAAUACAAACUCAAGUGGGUUUUCUGUACGUCUACCAGCACGCGUAUGUGUUGGUUGCCGUGUAACGUCCGACAUGCCAAAAAUUUCUUCUUCAGUGUCGCCAUAUAUCCUCUAUUUUCUCCUGUGGAAAAAAUGACAGAUUAAUUUUCUCCUGUGAAAAUUUUCCUAGACAAUGAUGCAAACUCUAUAGCUCAUGAGCUAGCGAAAUCCAGUUUUUAUAUCAAGUGUGACGAUAGUUGGACUAAUGAACCUCCAGGGAUGUAAUUAUUCUUUAAUUCAAUAAAGCUAGCCAUGAUGGAAUUUGUGUGUUUGGAUGCAUCUUGUGGAAUUCAAGGCAUCUAGAAGCAAGCAGAACUGAUGCAACAAGCUGUCUUAUUACUAAAAUAAAAAGGAUUCUGAAAAUCAGAACCCUUUGAGCUGUUUUACAAUUUCAGGAUCUUUGUACCAAGCAAACACGUGAAUCCCUCAAAUGGUGUCUUAAUUCCUGCUAUUUUCAUGCACUCUUCAUAUAUACUCUUGACAGGCAAAAAGAGAUGUGACCCCCUCAAAAAGGUAAGAAGAAAAUGUUGUUGGGUACUGGAUGUCCAGAGCAAAGACAUGAUGUGACGUCUAUGUUAUAUGCCUUCAGUAGUCGCUCAAGUCUCAGUUGUUCCUCAACUUCACGUCAUUUUGGAAUCUAAACAUCCACAAUUAUGCUACUACCUCUGUACACUAAUACAAGACGUUUUUGAAGUUCAAUUCAACUACAAAAACGUCUUACAUUAGUUUACAGAGGGAGUAGCAACUAGCACUAUUCUUUUGAGAAGCAAUCAAAGACAUCUUCCGAUGGAGUCAAUAUCAACAAAACAAACAUCAAAACUUGACUUAUUACUACAUCCAUCCAUACCAAAAUUGGCACGCGAACAUAGCAGGCAGAUAUAUGUCUUCAAAAUCACUUACACAAUAAAAAGAGGGUUCAAGACAAUUGCUUAAAUAAUACAAAUAACACCAAAAGGUCAUAUAGUGCCUCCGCAGGAGAAACAGGGAAUCUUGUGGCCUACUUAUGCCGGUUUCGAAACGGCUACAGAGGGUAGAAAUUAAGCAACCAGAAUUACGGUUGAUAAUAAUACACAAGUGGUGCCUACUAUUAAAGUUUCAUUAAUUAGUUGCCAUCCGGAAUUCAUCAUAAAGGAAAAUCAUUGUCAUAAAGGUAGAGGGCAACAAAAAGUCCAGACAAGUGAAUCUAGGUCGGAUGACGCACAACCUUGUCCAAUGAUGCACACUGAACAACUUAAUGGCUUCAGCAGCAAAUUCAUACUAAUUUUUUUGGAGACCAAUUCAUCAAUAGCCGCCAAGACCAAUUUUCUUCAUAAGGGCAUUUGAACACUCGCUGGAGUACUGAACUGACUUGGCAACACGCUGCGCAGCUUGCAGAGAGACCUCACCACAAGACUCGAUGACCAAAGACUCUAACUUCUGUGCAUCUUCCAGUUCAGCCACUCCAACAUCAGUAAUGUUAUGACACAUCCGAAGUGUGAGAUUACUCAAGCAUGGGGUGUGCGCAAUGAAGCGCAUCCUGGCAUCAGUUACCGCAUGACACAAUAUAAGCUCGAGUGUCUCCAGAUGAGGCGAGGAUGAGAGGGCCUUCAUCCCCUCGUCAUCAAAGAAGUUGGCGUUGUUGAGUACAAGAACACAAAUUGGGCAGGACUGGAUGAGCACCAGAAAACCCUCUUGUGUGAAUCCUAUUUCUGAUGGCCAGUCAGCAUCACAUCCUAUAAAGCCGAGGUCUAUCAUCUGAAGCAUACGACAGUUGAGGGCUAGAGCGUAAAGGCUGUUAUCAGUAAAUGACGUCCUGGUCUCACAAUAGUUGACAUCACUCGAGUAGCGCUGCAGGUUGAGCCAAAGUGAGAUGCUUUUAAGGUUGCUGCAGCUCCGAGAUAAUGCAAUCAUGUCAUUGUCAUUUAGGGCACGAACAUACUGAAGGCAAAGCUUCUCCAAUGCUUUACGCUUCCCUAGGACAACACGAAGUCCUACUUCUGGCCAAGUUUCAAUAUGCGCCAACCUUAAAUCCUUCAAACUCUCACAGAAGAAAUCGUAUACAUCCAUGCUGUGAGCAUCGUACGAGGAGUCAUAGACCACAUUACCUGGAUCAAGAAGAUCAUAUCUUCCUCUUUUCCUCUCAAACUCAAACUUCCGGAGCUUCAUCCAUCCUGGACCAAACUUUAGGAAGUCAUGAUGAUUGAUUCCUUUGCAAUUCUUCACUACAAGCUCUUCCAGCGAUCCAUCCCUACCAAGGUAUUCCAUCCACUCUACAUUGUCGAUUUCAUCGCAAUCAGUAAGGUGAAGAGCAGAAAGAUUUGUGCAGCCAACUGCAACCGAGAAAAGCCCAACUGACGUUAUUUUUGGUGCGGAGUUGAGCCUGAGAGACACCAAUGUCUUGCAAUAAGCUAAACAAGCAAGCCCAGAGUCAUCGAUGCAUGAGCAGAAGCUUAAGGUGAGGUCAAUCAGCGAGGAACAGUGAGAUGAAAACACAGAAAGGCCUUUGUUGUCCAACUGAUUUCCAUGUCCAGGUAUCCAACCAGAGUAAUUGAUUUCCACUUUCCGCAGAUUUGGGAACCGGGCGCAGAAUGAUGUCAGUGCUUCUGUAGCCGUGCAAAGACCGGAACCAACACGGAUAGCAUCCCUUUGGUUCCCCUCUAUCUUGUAGAGCUGCUUUGACACAAGGGAAAGAGAAUUCAGAUCACCUGUCCUGGUGAUCCUGUUGAGAAUCUCUGUCAGUAGAGCCUCCGGUAGGUCCUCCAUCGAACAAUUCAGCUGUACCAAUCAGGUAAACACAUAUCAAGGUUCAGAAAACAACGGAAAGAGCUGGACUAAAACUUACGGUACAUCGGAAUAAUGCAUGUGAAGAUAGAUGGAGAUCAGAAUGGUGACAGACACUCAUUACGAAGAAUAUAUUGCUGACGAAGUUUGGGCAUUUUCUGUAUCCGUCCAAAACCUGUUUGUUCUUCACAAGCAUGGAGAAUUAUUAAAAUAGCUAGCACCUUAUCUGAGUCCAGAUUGUUAGAAAGAAAUGGUGACGCUACAGGCGGGCCACAUCAUUAAAUUAAACUAGAUACCACCAUAAAGUAGCAGAGCCUGAAUAAUGAACUAACUAAGAGAAUACAAAGAAACUAGCUAGAUCUGAUGCAAGCAAUUCUGCAAGAAGACCCAUGUGCUGAAUCUGAACCAACUUAUUUGGAGGCACGUAUCUAAUUAACAGUAACAUGAAAAGCAGAGCAUGCAAAUUGAAAUUAGUACUUGUAGCUCUUGCCUGGGCAAGAAAGAAAGCAGAGACAUCAUUUUGUCACGGCCGAUGAGUUCACAGGGUGCAGUUAUUAUUAAUAGAUAACGCCAAUUGUUCAAAAUAGAAAUACUGAUAUUUUCUGCAAUCCUAGGCAAGUACUCGAUCAGUUGCAAAAAAGCUUACUUUCUACUAGUAGUACCUAGGAGAAUGGCUUUACAACAUUAACAAGCUUUAGGUCCAACCAGGCACGCAGGGAGAUUUAUUAAAGUAGAUAGCACCUUAUAUGUGUCUGGAUUGUUAGGAAAAAAAAAAUGACGCUACAGGCGUGCCACAUCAUAAAAUUAAACUAGCUACCACCAUAAUUAAGAAGCAAGCAGAGCCUGAACAAUGAACUAAGUAAGAGAAUACAAAGAAACGUUCUGGAAUUGAGGCAAGCAAUUUUGCAAGAAGAAUUACUACUACUAAUUGCUGAAUCUGAACACGAAAAGCAGAGCAUAUAUGCAAAUUAGUUAGUACGUACUUGCAGCUCUUGGUUGGGCAAGGAAGAAAGAAAGUAGGGAAAUCAAUCAUUUUGCCAGCCACAGUCGAUGAGUUCACAGGGCCAAUCUAAUAUCUGUUCAUCAACUAGAAAUAAUACUAAUAUUUGCUGCAACCCUAGGCAAAAUGCUUACUUUCUACUAGUAGUACCUAGGAGAAAGGCUUUACAAGAUUAACUAAGUUUAUGGAUGGGGAUGAUACUACCGGGUUUUCAAGAACAAGAAAGCGAAUCGAAAAACGGCGGUCAUGUACAUGUCAAGUCGGGGAACCAACGCAACGAACAGGGAGGGAGGGGUCUCUCAGGAGGGGAGAAGAGAAAAAUGGCGGUACCUUCUUUGAGCACGACCCACCGGGAGAGGAGGACAUCGCCGCCGCCGGUCGACCUCGCCGGAGAGGCGGAUGAGAGUGCCGCCGCUAACUUCUUUGAUUCGGAGGAAGAGAGCAGAGUGUAAACCCUAGUCUCUGUAAUCCAGCGUAGCGGAGGAAGAUGUGGGCUCACAUGGGCUUUCCACACCCGGAAUGAGCUGCGGGCCUUCUACACUUUUUUACCACUAAAAAAACACAUUAAUGCCUAAAAAACACAUUUUUUUUCUUCAUAAACACAGGAAAAUCUAAAAGUAAUAAAAAAUAUAGAAUGCUCAUAUCAUCAUUUCAGUAAAUGAGUAAAAUUGUAAGGCAUUGUAAAAUAUGCCCAUGUCCACUGAAACAAAUUUUCAUCUACUUAUUAAAUUGUCUAGCAAUUUUUUUUAAAUGUUCCUGUAUGCAAAAAAGAAAUAUUCAUGUGUGACGCGAAAUGUUCACAUGUAUCAAAAUAAAAUAAAUGUAUGUGCUUAUGAAAAACUGGACAUGUAUUCUCAUAAAUGCACUUGUAUGUAUAAAUAAAUAAUGCUCAUGUACAUCCAUAUGAGUAUUUCGGAAGGAUACGUUAGUGGCAUCGCGCCCAAACGUCACAGAUAACUAAAUGCAAGAGAUACGUUCCGAAUUAGUGGCGUUGCCCACCAUACUCGCGGUUAGUAAAUAAUAUACUACUGACAUGACACUUUUCGACCACGCCAUUAGUAAAUGUUGACAGUAUUAAGAAAAUACUGCACUGGCAACUUUUUCCCUAAUUACUCUAUAUCUUACAUUUCUAAGAAGUUGAUACCAAUUCUCUCAACAUGUAAGGUGUCCACCUCAACAUCCCACUAAGCAAUGCAUUGAAGUAUUCUCUCCCACUAAGCCAUGCAAAAUCUGCCACAUAAGCGAGUCUUGCAUUUACAAUUAUUUUUGCAUUAGUCUAUGUAUGUCAUGCUACCACAUCAUAUAUUCAUGUUAGUAAUCCUUCACAUUUUGGUUUGAAAUGACAUUUUUUUACUGUAUUUGAAAAGUUUUUAUUCUAUUUUUAGACAUUUUCUUUUAUUGAUUUUCAAGCUUGUAUACGUCGUGUUCCGGGGCAAAGCUUAUUUGGAAAAUGUCCCAAGAAUGAUGGCUUUUGUAAAUCGUGACAGUACACCACCCAAUCUCCGGAAUUUGGAUCUUGUAGUCAACAAGGGAUUGAUGAUAUCCAUGAACAAUAAAUUUCAUGCACAAGAGUAGAAAACAUGUUGUCAUUAGCAAGAAUCUUGGAUGGCGUACAAUUUCCAAGAUUCCAGUGUUCCAUAUUUUCUUAAUAAAAUACAAAGCAUGGUACUCAGUAACCAUGUGAAUUUAUGCCUAACAAUUUUAAUAUUCAUAAAAUCUAUCUUUGUUAAUUUUAAUCCCCUAUUAUUAAAUAAUUGCAAUCCACUACCUAUUUUUCCUAUUCAAGCAGCCAUGCCACAUCAACAAGUCAUACAUGUUAGUUAUAAGUUUACUUUUCUUUCUAUGUGUGCAUCCAUACCACAUCAACAAGUCAUGCAUGUUCCUCGUAAGUUAUAUUUUUCAUAUGUGCUUGUUUUUCCUAUCCAUGCAGUCCUAGCAUGCCAGCAAGUCAUGCAUGCCCCUCAUAAAUUACUGUUUUUGCAUUUAAUUUUUGUUGUCGUGAAUGGAUCAUGUGUUGGACAAUCUGAGGAUACCUAUGUAGUUCAUUUUUCACAUUUUUGUUAGAAAAUUGAUAGUCUAUUAAGUACAAUCCAACUUAUUCUCUUUUGUAGUUGCUCUUAUAGCAUCUAGUUUACGUGUUUCAUUCGAUGAGGUUGCUGCAGGAACACACAUGUAUCAUCUAGUUAUUGUAGAAAUAGCAGCACAUUUGUGAAUAGGAAAAAUAGGUAAGCCUAACGUACUGACAUGGGUAUAAAUUCACUACCUAUUUUUCCUAUCUUUGUUAAUAUAUAUAGUAAUCUCCAGAAUGGGAUAAAUGGUGCACCUUGUUGAGGCUAAGCCUAAUGUAGUGGUCUUGUUCGCCAUAAAUUGAUGGAGGAGCAAUGGCUUGUCCAGGCACCAGAUUAGCUCGACUUGCAGAAACAAAUCCUGGGCACUGCAAGUUGUAGCACCCCUUUGAUUUCAAGUCCUUCUGAGCAAUUAAAAAAAAAGAAAACAUGCAUUAUUGUGGAUGUAAAGAGACUUCUACUUAGUCCAAUAAUGCCUCUAACUCCUAUAAAAUACAGAAAACUAUAUGGGAACCACAAUAAUAUAUAACUUGUUAAAAUGACAUUGUUAUACUUACGGUCCAAUAUGUAAAGAAGCGAAUAUCUCUGUUAUGGUACAAAGAGGGGGAAAUCUGCAAGCAAAACUUGAUUAUCAAAUUGUACUUUAUUCAAAAGCAUUUGAGUUUACCAUAAUGGGUGAUAUGUCUAUACAUGAAUUCCAACUUGAAUUAAGUUGUAGUUUCCUCCAUCUUGACAAUAUAUCUGUAAGGAUGCUCCAGAUUCUUGAGAAGUUUCUUGAUUUGGUGAAGCCCAUAUACUCAUGUCAGCUCGAAGGCCGUAGAAUUGUCCUGGCUCUGUGUGCCACAUUGCAUACUAGUGAUAGAUAAUUAUAGCUCAAAUUAGUAAAUAACCAUAAAAAUCUAUAAAGAACGACAUAAUAAAGAAGUGAGGGUGUGCAUUCUUGGCCUUCGUAUGAGGUUCACCUACCAGACAUUUACAAUGGGGAAUUUUUCAUGCUAUUUUGGAGUUAGUCUAGAUUUGUUUUCGUAGGCCUUGUUGAGUAUAUCAUACUGGAUUUAGCUUCCUCCACGGUGUGUGGUGUCUUUCCAACACAAUUAUACCUUUUGUGGUGAUGCAUGCAAUGCUUUAGUUCAUGUGCAUUUUCUACAGUCUUACUUAGGUGCAUGGGCUCACAUCUUAUCUCCUCCUUGUGGCAGGGGUGAAACAAGAUUUGAUUCUCUCUCUGAUAGGUGUGAAGCGUAUUGCCGAUAAAGUUGGUAUGUUAGUAUAAGUCUCCAAUAGAGUAUGUCUUAAAUGCCUUUGUGAAUAUGUUGUUCACGUUAUUUUGGUAGCAUGCUUUGUAUGUAAUGAUCAUAGCUUUCGCAGUAUAUAGGGCAUCAAGCUUAGUUCAUUUAGGUGUAUGUCUUUUAUUUGGUAUUUAUGUACGACCUUGUCUCUUGGGCCAUUGACAAGAAUUUAGCUUGACCAACUAUGAUAUAGGUACAUCAUUAAUGAAUGUAGUAUUUUUCUCCGUGGUUUAAAUAUGCGAUGCUUAUAUUGAAAAUACUUUGACUUUGCCUCUUGUGAUCAACACUCACCAAGAACUAAACAAAACAUCCCAAAUCUAACACAUGAAAAGGUAAAGAGAUAUAUAUACAGAGAAUGGGGGGAGAGUGUGUGUACAUGAGAAAUAAUGCCGCUUCCUUUAUCCAUGAUAUUAGCUCUCCAAGGAAAAUGGAAAGGUUUAGGUCUUAAAAGAGUGGUGUUCUGUAGAGGGAAAUAAUAGUUCAUGAGUAGUUAGCAUAUAUAAUUGAUGUACAGAGUCUUUGAAAGAUAAGUAUUCGUUUCACAUGUGUGUCCUACAUUUUAGUUGGGUAUAUAAGUAACAUAAAGUAGUUAUGAAUGAUAAACACCAAUAGUAAUUAUCAAGAUUAAGUGGUCAAGUAGAUUCAACAAUGGGAUAAUAUACAUAAACCAAUUGAUAUAAAGUUGUAUAUAUCAAAAUCUAAAAGUAAAAUAUUGGUUACCUUCUCAUUCGUCUGGAGAUUGACAUCUACGCCUAUCGAUUCAACAAAGGCGAGGUGGAAAGUUAUACACAAAAAGCAUAGUAAGACCGAUAUGACAACAUAAUCACCUCCCAUUUGCAUAGGUAAUUGUGUUAUUUUCAACGAAAUAGUAACUAUGUGAUUCCUGACGUACUUGUAUCUUCUUUAUAGAACACAACUUAAAUAGAAUUGAGCCAGGUUCUUUCUUUAGAAAGGUUUAUAUUGCAGUGUACUGAUCAUGCACUGAACAUUUGAUGGGUAGUCAUCCGGUGAACUUAUCUUUCUAGAGUUGGGUAUAAAUCUAUUGUUUAAUUAAUUUUCAGUAAAUAUGGACUUGGUUUACAUCCAAUUAAUGAUUGCUUGAUGGCCUAUCUUUUUAUAUGAAUAUAGAUCAAUUUAUGCCAAUAAUAAUUAAAAAUGGACUUGAUUUACAUCCAAAGAAUGGAUGUAUGAGGGCAUAUACAAUGGUCUUAUCUUAGAAGUGCCACAUAGGAUAAUUGCAGAGGUGGAGGAGAGAGAAACCAUAAGAAAAGGCUUGCCUUCUCUUCAUUAAGAGAUGAUCUCUUAGCAAUAUUUCUCUCACCACAUAAUCAGGAAUAUCUUGUUAUUAGAGAUAAGACUAAGAGUAAUACAUUGUACAUCAUUUUUUGUGUCUUCUCUAGAUUACAUGGGGGACAUAAGAUAAAACAAUCUUACCAACCAUCGUACAUGCUCAUGAUCUAUAUUUUCUUAUAUGAAAAAAUAGGCAUUGUGUCAAUGUUCCUUAAGUGUGGAGCUGAUUUACGUCUAAUGAAUGUUUGGAUAUGAAUAUAGAUAGAUUUUUCAUCAAAUUUUAUUUCUUAAUGGACUUGAUUGACGCUUCCUCCAUUUAAUCCAUAUACCAGCUAAGUUAAAGAGAGUUUACAUGUUAAUUGUGGGGGCUAAUGUUAAUAUUACAACACCUACAGACAUGGGAUCAUUGGCUGACCUGGCUACAAAAAUAUACUAUAUGUACCCCGUUGACAAUACCCAUUUGUUGGAAUGACUCACAAAUUUUAUCAUUCGCCAUUCAUUGACUACAAUCUAGGGCCACGACACCAAGAUGAUCCUUACAUCUCACAACGACAACACCAAGCCCAAAUGCUUCCAAAGAUUUGCUAAUAUAUUGCGAAUAGAACAUCUCCAACUUUAGAGGCAAACAUCAGUGAAAACAUAUCUAUCCAUUUUGAAGUUUAAUUGUGUUUAUUAAAAAUAUAUUAAUCUACUAAUACUUGUGAUUAAGGAAAAUUCCAUGUGUUUCUUUAGAUGUAGAAAGUACAUGGAGGCACAUGAGGACACGCCGGUCAGGCAGAAAACUUGGAGCGACCAUAUCUUGUAGGUGGUCGAAAGUGUCAUGGAGACUAACUAGCUGCCAGGGACUUUGGGCUUUGCGGCCGUUCUAGCGGAGCAAGAAGAAUGGCAAAUCAUGGUACCUUCUGUUGUGGCGUUCCGACCCUCGAGGUCAACAGUUGCGUCACUCCUACUUGCCAUCACGGUCGCGUGUGACUCUAGAUAUGUGCUUCCCUGUCGACGACGAUAGAUGAGUUGCAGGGGAAUCAAGGGAAGAAGCUGCACAACAUACAGUUUGGCCUAUGGUCUUAUAAAUGCAUGUGUGGAGGGCAAAACAGCGGCACAUCCCUCGAGAAUUGCGUCGAUAACAGGGUGAUGCGUGGAGUUCUAGCAUGAGAAACAAGGGCAUGCUUUUUGCUGUAAAAAAACUUUAAGGAUCCGUUGUAACAACUUUGGGCCCAUGCCUGGCGUGAAGGGCUUCCAGGCAAUCAUUGACAAGGCACGACCCGACCCGUUUAAUAGGCCUUUUUUACUCAUCCUACAUAUGUUUCUUUGGGCCAUUUCAGGUAUCCCGUCUAGACCUUGAGCCGUUUCCGGGCCAUCAUUUUGUGUGGUGUGGACUACUUGAGCCCAUCGUAAUUGUGAGGUCCGUCAUGGGCGCCAUAUCGCAAAAAGCCUGGCACACACACACAGUUGACUGAAAUUGCCUUCGCCAAGCACGAGAGCUAUAUCACAAAUGAUAUAUGUCGUUCGUUGCGAGUGUUACGACGUCAAUCGCCUACAGGCGCGUCCAGCGGCCAGUCCAUUGAGCAGAAGCAUUCCCAACGGUUUUGGGAAGCUUUAAGAUGUUUUUCCAUCUCUGUGUUUUUUGUUUGUUUUUUUACCAGGUUUCUAUUUCUUCUAUUUUUUUUUCGUUUUCCUCUCUCCUCUUUCACUUUUUCCUUUUUAGAUAUAUGACACCAACAUAAUAGUUUUUUUUUACUAUUUUUCCUUCCAGGUUUUUUACCUUUUAUGUUUAAUUUUCUUUUCUUCUCUUUUAUUUUUUUAAUUUAAAAAUUUUCAAUAAAUUUUAAUUUUGAAAUUGUUCAUGUUUUUAUGAAAAAAAUUCACGUUUUUGAAAUAAUAUUUUGUUUUACCAAAAUAUGUUCAGAAUUUCAAAUUCUGAUCACAAUUUCAAGAAGUUUUUGAAAGGUUUUCACAUUUCUAGAAAAUUGUUCGAGACAUCGAAAAUUGUUUGCGAUUUUCAAAUAUUGUUCACCACAUAACAUAAAAUGAUCAAUGUAGUUAAAAAUUAUUCACUAUUAAGAAAAGUUCAUCGUACACAAAUAAAAUGUUCAUUGCAUAUUCAAUAAUUCUUCAGUGUGUAUUUUGUAAAGUUGUUCACCAUAUAUUAAAAAUGUUCAUUUUAUAUAAAUCAAAUGUUCAUCAUAAUACAUAAUUUAUUGCUAAGUGUGCAUUUUUAAAAAGAAUUUUUUUUAGAAUUUCGAUUUUUUUGUGUUUUCAACAUUUGUUCGUGUUUGAAAAGAGUUCACUUUUUAAAAAAUAUUCAAAGUUUCUUAAAGAAUUUUUCGUUUCCAAAAAUGUUCAGAAUUUUGAAUUUGCAAACAUUAAAAAAUUGCGAUUAUUGGACAAAAAGAAAACGGCCAACACUUGCUCGCGUUGGCUCGCUGGCGCCACAGCGCUCGCUCGCAGGUGCCUGCUCCCGCUGACGGGUCAGACCUAUUUAGGGGUGACCCGUGAGGGACUCGUACGUUAGCGCUCGCUCAAAGCGAUGGAUAGCAGCGCCAGACCAAUAUCUCGCCUACUGCAAUACCAAAUACAUAGAUGAGCAGUAGGUCGAGCUGGUCUAAUUAACGUGUACACGUGCGGUGUUGUGAAGUUUCUACAACAGUUCGUGGAACCUUCCACCGGUUUUUGGAAGGUUCCAUGUAGUUUUUUCUUGUCUUUUACUAAUUUUUCCUUUGCGGGUGUUGUAUGGUUCUUUUGCUUUUCCGUUCAGUUUUCAUUUUAUUUUUUCAAAUACAUGUCAGAAUCUUUUUACCAUGUUUAACAUUUUUAUGAUGCACCUUGAUAAUUUUUUAAAUACAUGAUGAAUAUUUUAUAAAUACACACUUAAGUUUUUUUUCAAUACACGUUGUACAUUUUGCAUAUACAUGCGAACAUUUUUUUGAUACAUGUUAAGCAUGGAAAAACUUGUUUUCCAAUUUUUCAUUAACAUAUUUUUUUUGAACGUGUGAACAUUUUUAAAUGUCACAAAAAUUUAGUCCCAUCGUACCUCUAACCAAACAAGGAGACGGAUCUCGAUUUUGAGCUUAACUUACCUGCUGCACCAAGUGGUCAUGCAGCAGUCAUGGCAAACUGGCAGCAGGUAGCUAGGUAUGCCAAUUGCGAGACUGACUAGUUUCUGUGAUGUUGAUUAUGGUGUUGAUUUCCUGAGAAAAAAAUGAUGGUUCAUGUCAUUUCCCAUGCAAUCACUGUGCGUGAAGUUGUAAAAGGGUUUCUUUAUCUCGUCACAUGAUCUAAAUGACAGGCUAGAUAUCUGCGAUCAUUAUGGAAGUAUUUCCUAACCUAUAAAUUGUGUAUUUCGGGUUUAAUUUCAUGGCAAGUACCUAUAUUGUUGGCGUGAACUACUGAGCUUAUCCUAGCUUGAUAUUAUUAGCAAAAACAACUCACGGGAGGACAUGCAAACAUGUGCUAUAUGAUGGAUUUGAAACUGAGCUUUUGGAACAAUUAUCGUUGUCUCGGUCCUAUCAUACAACAGCACAUACUUUGCAUCAUUUCAGUUUCAGUGAAUGUCUAUGCUUGUGUCUCAACCAGUAUACUAAUUUGCUGUGCUUGCUUUCCUCUGCUUGUGCAGGAGGAUGAACUAGGACUGCCUACAGUGCCGCUUACGUCAAUUCGUAUCCUUUUCUCUUAGUCAAUUCGUGUCUGAAACUAACAAAAAAAGCUACGGCGUAGGUUUGAUCUUGAUGUAAAUGGUCGGAGCUUUGUUUGUGCAUGGACAAAUUCAUUGUAUUUUUCCUCAUAGUAUAUCACUACCAGUUGAUGAACAAUGGUAAAUGGAGUUGUUCUCUAUACGGUUGUACAUCUUGUUCUUAGUAUCUCUAAUUUCUCGCAAAAAAAAGUAUGUCUGUGAUUACACUAGCUAGGUGAGUUGAAUUUUUAGGUGAAUCAGUACCUACUUUUCUUGUAAAAAGAUCAUGGGAUAUGUCAUACCAAACUCUUCAUGUCUAUGAGUGCAGUAGCUUAGCUCUCACUGUUGUCUGUCACCUGAGACUUUGCAUAUCAUAUCAUCUCAUCCUUUGUUAAGUUUUUAUUAGGCAUGAAGAAAAAAUAAUGUUGUAUCUUUGUUCCAUUUCAAUCUCACCAAUCAAUGUUUGAAAUUUAGUAUAGUAGUAAAUUAUUUGUUAUUUCAUCUGAAGGACGAGGACUACAUACUCCUGGAUGCAAUGCUCCAUCAUAAGGAUAAGGACCUCAUACUCUUGCCCUACAGCCCCGUGUAAGUUCUUUUGCUUGGUCCUAUGGUAAUUUUCCUUUUUUAUGCACCUAGCUUCGUGCGUUUAUAUUUAACUGUUCUUGUUUAUGCAUCGACCACUUACAAUGAGUCAUGAACUCAUCCCGAGGCAUAGGAAGGGAGAAGAAUCAGUGGACACUCAGGAUAUUUCCGCUGCGUAAACCGUUGCAGCUUUUCUGCUUUGUUCUCCUCUUUAUUUAAACAGCUCAUUAGCUCAACUUAAUAGCUAACAUAAAGAUCCUAAUCUUGCGCCAUGACCAAGUUUCACGGACAUGCCAUCCCACGUCCCGUGACCAUGCCUCAAGUUCUAAGUCGCUACAGCCAGUACUCAUGCCAUCCCACGAGGCGAUCGUAAUAGCAUGCAACUACUGAUCCGGCCAUGUCGUGAACAGGCUCACGCUGCAUGGACCGGUUAUUAUUUUUGCUAGAAAUAAAACCUACGAGAUGACACGGGAUGAUUACAGACUUCAACAUGUAUAGAUGGUAUAUGAGUGACUCGAGGCAAAACAUAGACCUAAAUCGUCUUCCGCAAUGAUAGACCUUGGCUUCUCACUAGAAUUCAGAUCAUAUAUCAACAUGCAUCACUCCCUUGCUGCAAUGUAAGUGCACUGAAAGGCACGGGGCAGGAACUAGAAGAAGGUUGUUGGAUGAGUGUUUGGUAUGCCUCCCGCAUGGUUGGCCUUGCUUGUGGAGAAGAUUCCAAGCAAGAAAAGGCCAGCUUGAUGAGCAGAAGUAAGCUAUUCUGUUCUGUUGUUGGUGUUGUCGGCCGUUGGUCUAGAAUAUCUUUUACCAGUAUAUGUUGUUCCCCACUCGACAAACUACCGUCUAAUAGAUCCAUUGGAUGCUUCCCCAUCAAUAGCUCUAGCACAACCACACCAAAGCUAUAGACAUCACAUUUCUCCGUCACAACAGAUGUGUAUGAGAGUUCUGCACAAAUUAAAACAUUAGAAUCUGGAACAAGUCGAUAAGAGAUGAAUACUUGAUGUAAGAAGAAAGGUUAUACAAGUACGUACCUGGAGCUAUGUAGCCGUAUGUUCCUGCAAGUGCACUCCAGUUUGAUGAAUCUGGCUUAAGAAUCCUUGCUGUGCCAAAAUCCGAGACAAAAGCCUUGAAGGUUGUAUCAAGUAAGAUGUUGUUGCUUGUGAUAUCUCGAUGGAUUAUAGGUGGACUACAUUCGUGGUGCAAAUAAGAUAGUGCUUGAGCCACAUCAGUUGCAAGAGCAAUUCUCUUCUUCCAAUCUAAUUCCUUUGCUAGCUCCUCAUUUUCCAAUGUCCUGUGGAGGCUGCCUUGCUCAAUGUAGUCAUAGACAAGAAAUUUAUAUGCUGGAUGGGAGCAGAAUCCAUACAUUUUGACAAUGCUUCGUUGUCGGAUCUGUGAUAAGAUUUCCAUUUCUCUGCGAAAUCUUCUUUCAUCAUCCAACUCUUCCCCGGUCUGAUGAAGCUUCUUCACAGCAACUAGCUGCCCGUUUUGAAGUUGUGAUUUGUAUACUUUGCCGUAUCCUCCUGUUCCAAUGAUGUACUCGUCGUCGAAGUCUUUUGUUGCCCUUAUAAUAUCAUCAAAUGCCAUUCUUCCAUCAAAAUUCCAAACAGAAAAUAGGUAUCUUGCUUCAGUAGUUACACCUUCUUGUGGUUUUCUCUUUUUACGACUGAGAAUAAUUAAGACAAUAAUUGCGGCAACAAUGGUGAAACUCACCACAAGAACAAUUGGCAAAUGCAAACCAAGUGUCUUCUGUUUAUGGUGACCAAGUACUAGAGUUGAAUAACAAGGAGUCAGGCUAGAGAGGUUACCACACAGACCUUUAUUGGGAAGAAACCAACUUGUUGAAGCAUUUCGGAGAUGCCAUGUUGUUGGGACUGGUCCUUGUUUUCGCAAGAUAAAUUUUAAAUCUAUCCGCGUUGGCGUUUUAGGUGCGGGCAUGCCAGUAUACGAGUGUAUACAAAUACAAAAUAAAACAAGCACACAGAAUGAUGCGGAGAAAAUUUGUAGAUCUUUAUUGCUAAGGAUAUACAAAUCUCAUUUUACAUGCUUUUGGUAUAGCAUCUGACAUACAAAAGACAAUUGCAUAAUUCUCGACUCCUAGGGCCUCGAAAGGACCUCUAGUUAAUUACAUUCAUAGAUUCAUAUCUAUGAACGACCUCCGAUUAAGCUGCCUCAAACGGUCAUCAUCAUUAUCAAACUCAUGGCUUCUGUCUCCAAGGCAAAAAGAAUAUGCAAACACUCUGAGCAAAACAAUAAUCUCGCCAUGCCAAAAAUUUAUGGAUUCAUGCACCAAUCAAGCAUGAGAUGUGAUCAAGUCUCAAGAAGAAAAUAAAAUGGAUAGUUCGGCCUCGUCGGUCACGAACAUCAUGCAUCCUGCCUCGUCGGUCAGGAAAUGUAUGUGAGUUCCGGCCUCGUCGGUCGCGGAAAAGGGUGUUCUGAACAUGGACUUGAAGAUGAACCCUCAUUUGAUUGAGAAACAUGCUUCUGCAAAAUUUUGUCAAUGGCGUCUUGUUUAUUCCGGAGUAGAUGGUUGUGUCUUUAUUAUUCUCAUCACCCUUUACAUCAUACAAUCUACUUCACUUUAUUAGUGACCUCUGAUGCUUCGCAUGUGAUGACUUAUGAUGCUGAUUUUGAGUAUGUGUGUGGCUGCGCUGCUGUCCCCUAGGGCCUAACUUUGUAUGCCACCCCAAAUGUAAUGUUACAGAAGAUUUUGCUGAUGAAUUUGAUGCGUCCGCGGUGACGAUUUGAUCGCCAUGUAGAGCUGCGAGAUGCUAUAAACUUUUCUUUCUUUUGAUUUUCAGAUCUGAUACUGAGACAUCCGCGGCGACGAUUAGAUCGCCGUAUAGAGCCG
This 48125-nucleotide long non-coding RNA is filed under the name Triticum aestivum (bread wheat). RNAcentral's name for it is "long non-coding RNA (TAES_LNC028359)". Lineage: Eukaryota; Viridiplantae; Streptophyta; Magnoliopsida; Poales; Poaceae. The record is from RNAcentral.